This 77410-nucleotide long non-coding RNA is filed under the name Vitis vinifera (wine grape). Its description in RNAcentral is "long non-coding RNA (VVIN_LNC006941)". Lineage: Eukaryota; Viridiplantae; Streptophyta; Magnoliopsida; Vitales; Vitaceae. The record is from RNAcentral.
UUUGAGACUGGAAAAUGGAGUUGGUUGGAAGUUGCUGCUAUCCUUGUUAUUUCAUAGGUCUACUAUGAUCUGGAAAUUUUGAAAUGUAAAAUGUAGAAUUUAACUAACAACUCAGUCUAGGCAUGAUGUGAUUUCUUGAUAAAAUGUUGAUAUGAUGUUUGAAUGUCAAAUGUUAGAUUUGUAGUUGGAAGCUGAUAUGGAAUGUUGCAGUUUUUACUAAUCAAUCCAGAACUUGGAGAGGAAAUAUUCUUCAAACAAUACUAAAUAAAACUGGAUAUCGAAUGGAGUAACAUUGAAAUUCAAAUCCUAGCUUUAACAAUGAUUAAAACGGGAAUGAAUAUCUUUUUCAAGUACGAGAUUAGAAUGUCGAAAGUCACGGAACUCAAUAAAAUUAGAAAGUUAUAGACCAAAAUUCAUUUUGAAUGACUUUGCUAAUUUCUUUUUUGCAUAUAUCAUAUUUUUACAAAUUUUUUCAUUCUAUAAAAUAAACGUCAAAUUAAGUAACACUCAAUAUGUUGAAUUUAUUCAUGAAUUUAGUAAUUUUUAAAAAUAAUUUAAAAUUCAAAUAAUAAUUUAAUUAAUAUUUGAAAUUUAUGGACUAAAGUUGGGAUGGAACGUUUUUAUUAUUUCUCUUCUACUAUGAAUAACCAUAUUUUUUCCCCAUUUUUAUUUUUAUUUUUUAGAUAGAUAUUGAUGGAGUCUCCUCCAUGUGAAAAAAUAGAUCAUUAGGCAAAACAAUAAUAGAUCAAAUUAUGAGUUCCGAAUUUAGUGUUUCUCCUACCACAUAACUAUGUUUUCUAAUUUUUAUCAUUAGGCAAAUAAAUUCUAGAUUAAGUGAUAUAUGAUUAAUAAUUUAAAAUUUUAAUGAACCUUUUAAUUUUUAAGAAUAAUUUGAAAUUAAAAUUUUUGAUCCAAUUAAUAAUAGAUUAAAUCAAAACAUUCCAGAAUGUUGUGCUCAUAAUUGAGUACUAAAUGUAUGCAUGUGAUGGAAAAUUUAACUUAUUUAUAUAUUUAAAAAGUUAAAAUUUAUUUGUUAUUCAUUUUAAAUAAAAUAUUAUUAACAAUUAUUAUUUUAAAAUUAUUAUCAUCCAUUUUUUACCAAAAAAAAAUUAAUUAUGCUUUUAUGAAGAUAUUAAUAUCCAUGUAUUUUUUAACAUAUAUAUUUUUAAUGAAAAAAAUAUUAUUUAUGAUUUUAUUAUAAUAUUAUUGUUCAUGGUUUACUAAGAACUAUUUAUUCUAUAAUUUAUUUGUAAUCACAAAACUAUUUUAAUUUCUAAUCACUUGAAUUAAAUUUAAUUAAUAUUAUAUAAAUUGAAUUUGCAACGUCUAUACAAAAUCAAAAUAGAAGAAUUAUUUUUAAAUGCAAUUGGUUGAACACCUUUAUUUUUAUAAAAUACUAAAAAAAAUACUUUUUUUUUAAUUUAAAAAACAAAUUUUGAAAAUAACAAUUGAAAAAACAUUGCCAAACCCGUCCAAAAUGUAUUUGAGAAAAUUUCAACAAACAUAUAAUAGCCUAUUUGGCACUGUGAUUUAAAAAUAAAUUUUAAAUUUUUUUUUGUUUUUAUAUAAAAAUAUAAUUUUAAAAAUUCUAAUGUUUUAAAAAGAAGCAUUAGAAAAACAUGGUCAAAUGCACCCAAAAUGUUUGAGAAAAUUUCAACAAACACGUAAGAGUCUAUUUAGCAUUGUGAUUUAAAACCAUUUAUAUAAAAUCCUAAAUAGGUUCAUAGUUUUGGAAAACUGUUCUUUAAUGUUUUAUAAAAUAACAACAUAUUUGGGAAUAUAAAAUAUUUUUAAUUUAUUUUCUAUAUUUUUAAACAUGUUUUAAUGUAAUGCUUUAUUUUUAAUCAUUCUUUAUAUUCAUAUAAUUAUUAUUUUUUUUUAAACUCUCAAAUAACAAGUAAAAACAACUUAAAAUAACUAAAAGAUGUUCUUUGAAAAUAUCUUUCAGUGAUUACUUACAUAAAGGUUCUUAUGUAGGUAACCCUAGAUUACUUUGUUCCUAGACCCUAGAUCAUUAGGGUGCAUAAAAUCCUAUUCUAAGCUCUCUAGAUUUAAGCAUGGUGAAAACAUGGUAUUCAAAACCAAAAAUAAAACUAUAGAUCUAGAGAUUAAAGUCAUCCUUGAGAUAUGUUCCUACAUAGAUUCUUGUUGGUUUAAAAAACUUCAAAAUUGUAGAAGAUCUUGUAAACAUAGUAGUCUUCCACCCAAUAACUCUUCCUUAAGUCUAGGUAUUGAGAUAAUGGAAAUAUGUGGGUUAAAGGCUAGGGUUCUUUCUCGAGACUAAAGGAAGAGAAUGAUAAAAGUAUGAAGUCUUAACCCUUAAGGAAGUAUUUAUUGGUUUUCUACUAGACUUAAGUGACUUAAACCGACUUUAGGUCUGAGACAUUUAAUAUAACCCAAAAAGGGUCAUCAUUGACUAAUUAGCCUAAUUAGGUUUAAAUUAAUCAGUUAGCCCAAUCCAAAGAUGUUGUUUACUUACUCUAUGCAACCAUGUGUAAUUACCAAAAUGCAUUUAUGCACAUAAGUAAAACAAAAACCAAUCCAACCCUCAUAAACCAUGUCAUCAAGAUAUAUGAGUUUAAACAAGGACCAAGUGGGACCCAUAGGAUAAUACUAGCUCCCUUAUAGUCUAAUUUUGAAGUUGACUCAACAUCCUAUUAUAGAUAAUCAAUCGCACUGAAAAACUUUAUAUAUAUUACUACAAGACACUAAGUGUUUGAGUCCGUAACUUGUUAUUCACGGUAUAUAGUCUCUUCAUCAAUUAGUGUUCGUAAUCUAACAAGGUGAAAACUAUUAGCCUUUCAAGAUUACUUCUAUCAUCCUUGAAUUAUAGAUUUUCUUAUUGUAUGUGCUACACAUUUCAUGAUACACAUGUCCUUUUGAUUACCUAGGGGGUCACAUUAUCUCAAAGUCCAUGAGAUAUCAUGGUGUUUUUAUUGAUAAUACUUAUUAAUAUCGACUUUCAUCAACAAUGAUCCAAUCCAUAAGAAAUAUAUGAUCACUUUAGAAUCUCACUUGUAGAUCAAAGUCACUAUUAAUUUUGACACAAACUUAAUAUCCUCUCAAGGUUGAGAGACAAUACAACAUAACAACUUGGUGAAACUAUGAUUAUUUGAUAACCUUACUUCAAGACUCACCAUAGAUCUUGUCUAAUAUGUAACUGUACACGCUAGUGUACUCACCAUGGCAACCUUAUCUCAAUACCAAAGAUCGACCAUUUAUCUAAUUAAGAGGUGAUGCACUACAACGUCAAAUGGAUUGUCUAAAUUCACAAACUAGUUGUGAAUGAAUUAUCUACUUGUAAGGAACUCAUGAUUGUGCAACUUUUAAUAUACUCAAAUCAUGUGCAAUGCAAGAUAUGCUAAGUGAGAAUGCUCAUAAUAAAAAUGUAAUGCAUGAAAUAAGGAUUGAUAAAGGUGAAAUUGAAAUAUCAAUAAAUUCCAAAUCUAUUAUAUCAUGUUAUAUUUUUAAGAAUUUUAUCCUAACAUCUUAAUUGCUAACAAAUUCCAAAUGUUGAAGCUGCAAACACCUUCUUUUCAUUUAUUCAUCAAUGAUGAAAAAAAUAGGAGAUUUUAAAGAGAUGCUUUAAUUCUCGAAAAAAUGGAUGAGAAAAGAGAGCGUAGUGACGAGAUUUAAUUGAUCCACCUCCUCUCCAAGAGCAAAAUGGGAACCAUUUUAGGUUUAUCAUACCUGGGUUCUUAUAAGAAUUUCUUUCCUAAUUAACUCAAAUGUCCCAUAAGUCGGGCCUAUAUUAUUCCGUUACAAUCAAAAUGAGGCCUUAUUUAAUUUUUCAUUUUAUAUUUUUAUUAAAUAAUUAAAAAAUUAUAUAAUAUUAUUUUUAUUAAUAAUUAAUUUCAUUCACAUACCUUAUUUGAAAUUUUAUGAAAUUUAUUGGUGUAUUUAGUCAAAAUAUCGAGGGUGAAUUGUUGAUGCCUCGCGUCCCUUACGAUCCACGCAGUUGCCAAAUGGAUGGAUGCGCGACCUCAACCAAUAUAAGUUCUUGAUUCAGUCGUUAUACCUGCAAAAAGGCAUCCGAACAGGGUGUCCGGACGCACCCUCCGAUGGUUUUGUUAGCCAUGGUUAGAGAGGGAGAUAUAAAUCAGUUGGCCUUUUUCUAGGUAUCAGGAGGUUACCUUCCUUUUUGUGUGAAGGCUUAUAUAUAGUUCCAGGAGUACUGUUCCUCUCAUUAAUGGUGGGAAGAUAUUUUAUGUUGUCAUGAUGAUAUUAGGCGGCAGCAGGGCCAUCAUCACCCUACGGGCGGCUGAUAGAGAUCGUGGUAGGUGAUGCGGCUGUCAGAGAUCGUGGGAAGUGAUCAUGUGGAAUGAUCGUGGGAAGUGACUUGUUGUCACCUCAAUUCGUCCUUUCACACUGCAGGUGACGGGACGUGGGCCAUGGCUGGUUGUUGCGAUAACGUGUAAGACUUGCUUUACUUUAGUCAAUGAUCCGGACAGUCAUAUCCGGAUAGCCCAUGUUGGUUAUCCGGAUGUAUUGUGGAGCGGAUGUAUUAUGGAAUCCGUCCGGAUGUCUUAUGCUUUAUAAGCAUCGUUUGCUCUUCCUUGAGGCAGUCCGGAUAGGAGAAGCGCGCCAUGUGCGUUCUUAGAGAAAUCCGGAUGAUGGCGAUCCGGUUGAUAAUGCGUGCCACGUGUCUCUGUGAGAUGCGUGCCACGUGUUUCUCGGAGGGAAGGGUCCCUACAUUGCCCCCCUUUUUAACUUGCCUAUUUUGCCUAAGUAAAAAUGGGCGGGUUAAAAAUAAUUGGUUUUUUGAAACUGAAGUCGUCUUUUUGUCUGGUUUGGGCCACGUGGCGAGUGGGGGUGCGGGAGCCAAAAAAGGCAUUUAUGAUGAGCCGCCGACUCUGGAUAUUCCCAGGCAGCAUGUCGUUUCAAUGAUGACGUAGCUGUUCGUUUGGUUUUCCGAGGGGUUGUCUCCCUAUAAAUAGCAUACUGUGCCUUCUGUUGUAUUUUUCCUACUGCAUUUUCCUGAGAGCUUCUUUCUAUGUUCUCCUUUGUUUUUCUGAGUGGAAACCCUAGAAUUUUUUUCUGCCGGUGAUUUUGUGUCGCAACAGCAACCUUUCUUCUUCAGAUUUCCACUUGGUACGUGCAUUUUGCUCUUGUUUUUCCCUUUGUUGCACUUGUUGUUCAUUGGUUUCGUUUCUGACUUGUUGAGGCAAGCCGCUUGCUACUGUGUGUGGAAUGUUGGUAUUUGUUGGUUUUCUGAGGUUUUUUUAGGGUGUUUUUGACUAUUUUUGGUUAGGGUUUGUGAGUUUUCUGGAUUGCUGUGUUUGACUGUUGCGCUUUUUGUAUGUAGAUUUCGGUUCAUCCUCGGGCUAAGAAAUGUCUGCAAAGAAAACUGUCUCGUCUGUCCGGGCCGGCGAUGCUCGUGAGAAACCUACAGACAAACUGAAUGUGAAGGAGUUCCGGGAUCGGUUCUUCAUCCCAAAUGGCGUGAUUGUGGAAUUGUUGAAUGAGGAGGAGCUUGUGUCGACUGAGAAAGCUGAAGAACAUGCCAUCAUUUUCUCAAAAGAGCAAUUAAACGCGGGGCUCCGGUUCCCUCUUCCGGCGUUGUUAAAGGAAUUCCUCCAUUUCUCCCAGAUUCCACCCGCCUUCAUUCACCCCAACAUAGUCCGGGUGUUGAUGGGAUGCAGCAUUAUAAACAUGCUGUACAAUCUCGACCUCACGCUACUGGAGGUUUUUUUUGUCUACUCCCUGAAGAAGGGAAAAAAUGACAUCUUUAGCAUGUCCGCUCACCUGCCCUCCCUUCAAUUGGUGACGGAGCUGCCGAAUUCGACGAAGGGAGGGGCGAAGGGACACGUGGUGGUCCGGGGUGCGUGGGCAGGGCUAUUGGAGCAUCCGACGAGGCCUUUUUCUCCAAACUACUCCACAGUGCUUCCGGGUAAGUUUGCUUGUGGGUUUUGUCCGGCUUUUACCUUGUUGUCUUUUUGUUGAUCUUUCCAGAUGGCAUUCUUAUCUUUUGUUGCUGACAAUGCAGGUCCGGAAAGGAGGGGCCACAUAGUUGACUGGGUAGAAAAGGCGUCUUUUGCCUGUCUCAAUAAAUUAUUUGAGAUAGACGCUAGGGAGAGGCAUUAUGGGACGCUGCUCACUGCGCGGAACCUAAUGGCCAUCGUCCGGGAGUCCCAGGAGUAUGUCGUCAACAUUCUCCCCAGGAAGCUGCCAAAGGAGGUAGUGUCUGGGGAGCAUUACAUUCUGAAGGAUCUCCCUGUCUACAAGGAGGCAAAAAAAGCUGAUGCUGAAAAACGCCGAGCACUCCUUGAUGAUCGGGAGAAGAGAAAAAACGAGGGAACUCUACGGAAGGCUCCUGGACAGAAACGCAGCGCAGCCUCCCCUCCAAGGAAAGCCCCAGCGACAAAGAGGAAACUGGUAAAAAAUGGGAAGGGAGUGAAGGAGUCCACUCCUCCAAGGGAAUUUGUUCCUCCGCCUAUUACUCAUGAGGCGGAGGUAAUAAUAGAGGAGCCAAUGAACCCUGCUCCCCACUCUAUUUCAAGUGGUUCCGGACACGUUGCGAGCCUGAACCAUUCGGGGCCCUGCUUGUCAGCGGUUGCCCAUUUUGCUACUUUGGUUGAGGAAGCUGCGUCCAUCAAUCAGCCCGGCUCCCCCCAUUCGGAUGCCGAUGCAGCUAGGGUCCUUUGUGCGACUCCAAUGGAGGAAACGGGGGCAGAAAACCAGAGUCAUCCCUCUGGCGAUCCAAGCUGUCUCGCUCUUGUUCCGGUGAAGGGGUCACCUUCAAAGAGGCCGCGCUCGACGCGUAAUCUAAGGUCCGGACUCAUCGGGCGGCUUCAAGAUCGAUUGCAAGAGAUUGAAUUUAGUUGUUCAUCCGCCUAAGAUGCUCAUCUGGAGGGGAGUGAGGUGGAGAUGGCGACUGAGACUCCAACCGUCCCGGUGGUGGUUCCGGAUGAGGGUGCACCCGGAGAGACCCAUCAGGCUGAUAAUGCUGCGGCCCCGGAUUCGGAAGAGGAGUCGCCCUCUAUUGCCUCAUCAGGGGGGAAUCCUGUUGAUGAUGCGGCUUGCACCCCCGCUAGCCCUUUUAGCUACGCGGAGUUGGAAGAGAAGCUGAAACAGAUUCCACCUGGCUCGACUGUUGUCAAGCCUUCUGCCCAGAUGUUUGAAAUGGUGGAAAUGGUACACUAUUCUUUGUGCUUCUUGAUUUUUGUCACGCUGAUGUGUUUGUGGUAUGACUUCUAAUUUCGCUUUUCUUGCUUGUGUGCUUGUAUGCAGCUGGUAAGUGGUCUUCGUGGCAUGGCUCAACAACACGAUUUAUUCACUGACUUGCUACGAACCACUGAUUACAUGAAGGCCUUCGCGUCUCGGCGUAAAAAUAGUGAAGAUCAGCUGCGCUUGAGACUGGAGGAGGCCGAAACCAGUUUAUCCACCGCUCGAGAGGACAACGAAGCUCUCCGGGCGGACUUGGCUGAGGUAAAGAGUCGGGAGGAGUCAACGGUCGUCCGCUUGUAUGAGGCAGAGGAUGAGGUGGCCCGGCUGAGGGGGGAGGUGAGGCAACUCCGGACAGAGGCUUCAAUUGAAAAGAAGCAGAAAGAAGAUUUGCAGCUACGCUUAACAGCGCAAAAAGAAGAGCUAGAGCGGGAGUUUGUUGUAGAGAGGGAGGAGCUUGAAGCGGACUAUCAAAAACAAGUGGAUGAUACGUUCUUCUUCGGCUAUCGCUGCUGUAUGAAAAAAAAUGGCAUAAAGCGAGAUGUCUCUUCAAUUCCUUCAGGUGAAGAGAAGAAACUUCUAGACAAGCCUGCUCCCUGAUAGCUUUUCUUUUUGCAAUUUUUUCUGUAAUCUUCUUUCUGUAUUUUUUGUGGUCCGGAGACCUAAUUGUACACAUGUUUACAAGUAUCAAUAAAAUGUUGUUUUCUCUCACUUGCACUUGUCUUGCUUUUUCAUUGAUAAUACUAUUUUAAAUUGGACACGUUCCAUGGUCUAAGUAAUAGAGUUCCGUCCAGCUUUUGUAGAUGAUAGGCUCCACUUUCACUUGCCUUAGACACUAUAUAGGGUCCUUCCCAGUUGGCUUGGAAUUUCCCUGCGCCUAUUUCAGCAGUGUUUUCAAAAACUUUUCUAAGGAUUAGCGUACCAUUUUUGAAGCUUCUGGGUCUUAUUUUGCGAUUGUAAUGGGCGGAUGCUCUUUGUUGAUAGUCUGCCAUCCGGAUGGCUGCGCUUUCCCUUAUUUCAUCUGCCCAAUCCAAGUUUCUUCCCAAUUCUGUGUUUGCAUCUUUCUGCUUUGCUACGUCAGUCCGGAUAGUAGGUAGACCUGUUUCAGUAGGAAUGACUGCAUCCAUUCCGUAUGCGAGGGCAAAAGGAGUGUUUCCUGUUGGUCGUCCGGGUGUGGUUCGAUAGGCUCAUAGGACGCCGGGUAGCUCCUCCACUCAUUUCCCUUUGGCUUGCUCGAGCCUCUUUUUUAAGGCAGUGAUUAGGGUCUUGUUUGUGGCUUCUGCUUGCCCGUUACUUUGAGGAUAACGCGAUGUGGAGUACGAAUUCCGGAUGUUCAGCUCUGAACAGAAAUUCCUGAAUGCGAUGCUAUCAAAUUGUGGACCAUUGUCAGCUAUGAUGGUUUGGGGAAUUCCAAAACUGCAAACAAUGUUUUUCCAUACGAACUUGGUGACAUCUUUGUCUUUGAUGCUAGCAUAUGCUUCAGCUUCCACCCAUUUACUAAAGUAAUCAGUGGCGACAAGGAGGAACUUCUUCUGAGCAGGUGCUGCUGGGAGGGGUCCUACUAUGUCUAUGCCCCAUUGCGCAAAGGGCCAUGGGCCUGAGAUUGACUUCAAUGUUGCUGACGGCAUAUGUGGAAUGGGAGCAUACCUUUGACAUUUAUCACAUUUUUUUACAUGGGUUGCCGCAUCUUGCUUCAUUGUUGGCUAAUAAUAUCCUUGCGAAUGGGCUCUAUGUGCCAGAGAUCGUCCUCCUGAAUGAUUCCCGCAUAUUCCCUCAUGUAACUCAGCUAACACAUACUGGGCCUCUGAAUGCCCUAGGCAUCGAAGGUAAGGUCCUGUGAAGGAUCGCUUGUACAGGUGCCCCCCAAUCAGGGUGAAACGGGCAGCUUGCACCCGGACUUUGUGUGCCUGUUUGGGAUCUCCGGGUAGAGUGCCUGUCUGGAUAUAUUCUGCGAUGUUGUAUGUCCAUUCUUGGCUAUCCGCUUGGUUUGCCUCAAUGGUAUUGCAAGUGGAGAUCUUUGCGACAGAGGGGUUGGUUUGCACAUGUAUAGGCAAUAGAAUAGCUUCUUUGAUAGGGAGGGAGGCAGUUAUGCCGGCCAAGGCGUCAAUGCGCCCAUUUUUAGUUCGCUUGAUUUUUUCGAUUGUCCAUUCGGUGAAUUGCUGCAAGGUAUUCCUUACUUUAGCUAAGUAUCGCGCCAUGCGUGCGUCCUUAGCCUCAUAUUCAUUCUGGACGUGCCUUACCACGAGUUGCGAAUCACUGUAGAUCCAGAGUUUGGAGAUGGAUAGAGCAAGGGCGAGGUCCAAUCCAGACAAGAUAGCCUCGUAUUCUGCUUCAUUGUUAGAGGCAGAGAAUCCCAAUCGGAUGGCUUGCGCCAGAUGUUCCCCAGUUGGGGACUGUAGUGGAAGCCCAACUCCAGAUCCUGAUGAUCGUGAGGCUCCGUCAACUCGCAGAGUCCACCAUUUUUGUUCACUUGAUUCUUGGUGUUGGCUAGGUCUUCGGGAAUAUUCUAGCACGAAGUCAGCCAUUACUUGGCCUUUCAUGGACAAUCUGUUGGAAUUCGAUUCCAAACUCGCUCAAUUCGAUGGCCCAUUGCAGCAUUCUCCCGGUUAAGUUUGGCUUGUGCAGAAUGUUACGAAGGGGAUGGUCGGUCAGCACGAUCACUGGGUGGGCUUGGAAAUAGGGGCAGAGCUUUUGGGCAGCGCUUCGGAGGGCUAAGGUUGUUAGCUCCAUUUUUGAAUACAUGGUUUCUACGUCCGCCAAUGCUCUGCUAACGUAGUAGAUUGGUUUCUGCUCCUUGGGUGAGGGGCAGCGGAAUAGAAUGGCGCUGAUUGCCCAUUCUGACACAGCCAGAUAUAUGUAUAAUUUCUCUUUUGGGAUGGGACUGCUUAGGAUGGGUGGCUGCAUGAGACAGUGUUUAAUUUUCUCAAAAGCAUUUUGACAAUUGUCCGUCCAUCCGUGUGUUCCAGCCUUUUGUAUUGCCAAGAAGAAGGGUCGCAAUUCAUCAAUGAAGCGGGCUAUGAAACGCCCUAGUGCAACGAGCUUGCCUGUGAGGCGUUGCAACGCCUUUUUGUUCCUAGGGGGAGGUGUUCCCAUGACUGCCUUGACUUGAUCCGGGCUAACCUCUAUCCCUCUUUGGCUGACCAUAAAUCCCAGAAAUUUGCCAGCACUUACGCCAAAGGCGCAUUUAGAAGGAUUUAGCUUCAUGUCAUACUUUCUUAAGAGGUGAAAAACUUCCUGCAAGUGAAGAACAUGUUCCUCUCGGGUUUUUCUUUUAACCACUAUAUCAUCAAUAUAUACCUCUACCGUGUGGCCUAUCAAAGGUUUAAAGAUUUUCGUCAUCAAUCUUUGGUAAGUGGCGCCAGCGUUUUUGAGUUCGAACGACAUGACUUUGUAGCAAUAGAGGCCGUGUGGCGUUAUGAAUGCUGUCUUUUCCUCGUCAGCCGGGGACAUGGGAAUCUGGUAAUAUCCGGAGAAGGCAUCUAAGAAAGAGAGCAUCCCUUGCCCGGCAGUGGAAUCCAUAAUUUGAUCUAUUCGUGGCAAAGGGAAACUGUCUUUUGGACAUGCAUUGUUAAGAUUAGUGUAAUCUACACAAACUCACCAUUUUCCUUCUUUUUUGGGUACCACCACUACGUUUGCCAACCAAUCCGGAUAAGAUACUUCUCUGAUGAAUCCGGCUUCUAGCAAUUUGUUAAUCUCAUUCCGGAUGACUUUUUUUCUGUCCGGAUGGAAGCGUCUAAUCUUCUGUCGGACGGGUCUAGCAGUUGAAAAGACGUUAAGCUUGUGAGAGGCAAUAGAGGGAUGAAUUCCCUUCAUAUCAGAAUGUGUCCAUGUGAAGAUGUCAUGAUUUCGUCUAAGGACGUUUUGCAUGGUCUUAGUUUCUUCGGACGUCAUGAGGGAACUGACGUUCGUGAGGUGAGUAUUUUCGUCCGAGAUUUGGAUUGUUUGUAAGGGAUCUGCUGCUGAGGGAUCUUUGUCCACCGGACCCAAUAAUUGCUAUUGGUCAUGUGUAUGGCUGGGUUCAGGGGGAGAUGCCUCCUCCUGGUUGGCUCCUGCUUCUCGUGCUAUCUGAUAGCAUUGGUGAGCGGCCAGCUGGCUGCCAUAUAGGUCAAUUUGCCCUUCGUUGGUGAGGAAACUCACCAUUUGAUGAUAUGUAGAGGGGAUGGCUUUCAUGUAGUGUAGCCAUGUGCGCCUUAAGAUGAUAUUGAAGGGUGAUAACUCUUGUACCACCGAGAAUUGUACGUUGAGAGUGACUAGGCCGGCUUGGACUGGCAGUAUGAUGUCUCCCAAGGACGUUGUUGACGACCCGUUGAAUCCAGACAGGAUUCGUCCAGGGUUUUCAAGGCCUGUGAGACUGUGUCCCAUGUGGCUAACGACCGAUGCUUGUACAAGAUCGGCCGAGCUGCCUAGGUCAACUAAGAUACGCCGCACAUCGAAGUCUCCUAUUUCCAGGGACAAGAUGAGGGCGUCGCGAUGUGGUUGUAGUGUCCGGGUGGGAUCUACUGGUGGAAAGAUGAUUGUUCCGUCUAUGGGGCGAGGGCCCUCUCCAGUUAGUCCAGGCCGGAUGGAAUUAAUGCAUUCGCGUAUUGAUGCGGCUCGCAACAGUUUCUGUCUUUUUCGCCUGGAGUCAUACUCCUCAUCGGAUGGUCCUCCGUUAAUAUAGUUUAUAACGGCCUUAGGGGCGGCUGGGGCCCUAGGGGUUCCAGAGUUGUGAUACUGAGAAGCAUCUCUACCCCCAAUGUCCGAGCGGAGGUAUUGUUUUAAAUGUCCUGCUUUGAUGAGCCUCUCGACCAGAUACUAGAGGGACCGGCAUGUCUCUGUUGUAUGACCAUGGUCCUUGUGAAAGGCACAUCUCUUGCUGCGGUCUCUCGUGGAUGGGUCCGUUCCGAUGGGUCUAGGCCACUUGAAGUCGAACAAGCCUUGGAUCAUUGGGAGAAGUUUUUCAUACGAUAUGGAGAGAAGUGUGAGAGGCGGCCUAUCCGGGCGACUCGGUCCCUCUUGCCUUCGAUCGGACGGCCCUGGCCGAUCUGGAGGUUUAGCAUUUUUGUCCGCGUCACCUUUAGAUGCCCGUCCGACAACUAAAACUUGCUGAGUGGCUGCAUGCACGUCAUCUUCGAGCAUUGAAUAUUUGUUGGCACGUUUAAAUAAGUCAUCCAUUGUUGUAGGAGGCUUUUUGGCUAGUGAUUAGAAAAAUGGAGUGCCUGGACAGAUGCUUCGCUUGAAGAUCUGUAGGACAGCAUCCAUGCUGCAAGCCUCUACUUGAAGUACGGCUUGGCCAAACCGCUUCACAAAUUCCCUCAAGGAUUCGUUAUCUUGCAUUUUUAUGUUCUGCAGGGUGCUGAUAUUUUGCUUGUGUCGAGCGGAGCACAAGUAUUGUCCCAUGAAAGCUUCGGACAGGUCCCUGAAAUUGUCAACAGAGUUGGGAGGUAGGCAAUGAAACCAUGAGAGGGCCUGCCCUUGUAGGCUGGCGGGGAACACUUUGCAUAGUAGCUCAUCGUUGCCAAUAUCGAGCGUCAUAAGCUGUCGAUAGUGCAUGAUGUGAUCGAAGGGAUCGUUGGUUCCAUCGUAUGUGGAAAAUUUUGGUACAAGGAAUCCCCUUGGGGGCUCGUAAUGAAUGAUAUGAGAGCAGAAGGGCGUGGAGAGCAUGUCAUCCAGCCUUUUGCUGAUGGAGCCAAUGGGUGGCUCGUUUGGGAGGUUUCUCCCAGUCGGUUGUUCCGCUAGGUGCGAGUGAACAUUCCGCAUCAUGGGGGUGACCAGGGGGUCACGAUGCGGGUGCACGUUCUGCACCAUGGGGGUGACCAUAGGGUCAGGGCGUGGUGCCCAGGUUGUGGCUACUGGUGGCCUUGAUCUCCCAGGCUCUUGUGGGCCUAGUCUUGCGCGCAUCGAAUUUAACAACUGAGAUUUUCUAUCACGUUGUCUUUUUGCUGAAAAAUGAGUAGAGUCUGAGCUUUCCUCACGGGGAGCUCAAGGCAUAGGCGUGUGUGGCUCAUGAGGCCUCACGCUGCAUGUUCCUGGGAUAGCUCCUGCUGUCCCAGGAUAUAUUGAUUCUGGUUCUGGCCUUGAGUUUGCUACUUGGCCUCUUGAACGCUGACGACGAGGAGGCCUUGAUGUUGAAGCCUGGAUGCGUAAUACAGCGUUUUCCUCUCUUAAUCUCUCUAUCUCCUGGAAGAGAGCUUUCAGUUGUCGCUCGCUUGCCAAUUGUCUCCUUUCGAUGGCCUGACGCCAUUCAAAAUUAUCAUCUCCUCCCCUACCAGAUGAACGGCUUCGGGAAGGUGUGGCCAUCUUUGCUAGUGACUGAAUCAAAUGAAAAUAGGGUUCCCACAGACGACGCCAAUGUUGAUGCCUCGCGUCCCUGACGAUCCACGUAGUUGCCAAAUGGAUGGAUGCGCGACCUCAACCAAUAUAAGUGCUUGAUUCAGUCGUUAUACCUGCAAAAAGGCAUCCGGACAGGGUGUCCGGACGCACCCUCCGAUGGUUUUGUUAGCCAUGAUUAGAGAGGGAGAUAUAAAUCAAUUGGUUUUUUUCUAGGUAUCAGGAGGUUACCUUCCUUUUCGUGUGAAGGCUUAUAUAUAGUUCCAGGAGUACUAUUCCUCUCAUUAAUGGUGGGAAGAUAUUUUAUGUUGUCAUGAUGACAUUAGGCGGUAGUAGGGCCAUCAUCACCCUACGGGCGGCUGACAGAGAUCGUGGGAAGUGAUCAUGUGGAAUGAUCGUGGGAAGUGACUUGUUGUCACCUCAAUUCGUCCUUUCACACUGCAGGUGACGGGACGUGGGCCAUGGCUGGUUGUUGCGAUAACGUGUAAGACUUGCUUUACUUUAGUCAAUGAUCCGGACAAUCAUAUCCGGAUAGCCCAUGUUGGUUAUCCGGAUGUAUUGUGGAGCGGAUGUAUUAUGGAAUCCGUUCGGAUGUCUUAUGCUUUAUAAGCAUCGUUUGCUCUUCCUUGAGGCAGUCCGGAUAGGAGAAGCACGCCAUGUGCGUUCUUAGAGAAAUCCGGAUGAUGGCGAUCUGGUUGAUAAUGCGUGUCACGUGUCUCUGUGAGAUGCGUGCCACGUGUUUCUCGGAGGGAGGGGUCCCUACAUGAAUGACAUGUAAGUGGAUAAUUUUAAAAAGUUAUAUAAUAUAAUUUUAUUAUCUGGCCCUUCCACGUAACUCGUAGGUGCCAUUCAUUUCUCCACAAAGCGAAGAGCUUUUCAUAGUCUGCAUCUAUCAUAAGCAAAAAAUAAUUUAGGGUUAUUUGAUUAAAAAAGCUUUUUUGAUAUCAUUUAGACAAAAAUAUCCUUAUUAUUUUCUUGUAAAAAUAAUAUUUUCUUUUAAAAUCUACAUGUAAAUACUUAAAAUAGAAAAGAGCAUUUAUGUCAAAAAUAGAUUACUUUUCUAGAAAAAAACAUGGAAAAUGUUAGAUUUCAAAUUUGGGAUUAUUUCAUCCCUUUUAACCAAAUAUUUCAAAAAUUUUGCUUAGAGCAUCGAAGCCAUGACAUUCCGAAUCAGAAAGGCUAGGGUUUCGCUAAAACUGCCCUCUCAUCCCACUCAUUCCCAGUCCCAGGUUACUUCUUAUUUUCAUUUUUUUUUUCAUUUCACUUCAUUCGAUAUCAUGCACUGAUUUUCUUUCUCUAUUUUGAUUCAAUGGAAAAAGCUGAUUAUUUCAUUCGUUUCUUUUUUUUUUUCUUCGAUUAUUUAUUUAUUUUAAUGACUCCGUAAAGAACUGAUUAUUCAAUUCGCGUGAAUACCAUGGCGUCAUUUUCCUUUUUGGGUUUCAUUUUCAAUUUUUGAUUCAGUAGAGAAGGCAGAUAAUUUGAUUCAAUUCGACUCAGGGCGUGAUUUCCUCUUUUCGAUUUCAUUUUCCAUUUUUGAUUCAAUAGGGAUAACUGACUAUUUCUAUUCGUUUUAAUAUCAGAGCGUAGUUUCUAGGGUUUCAUUUUGCAUUUUUGAUAAAGAAGAGAAAAGUAAUAAUUCACUUGAUUUCAAUAUCAUCGCGUGGUUUUCUUUCUGGCUUUCAUUUUCAGUUUUUGAUAUGCUUGAGAAAACAGAUUAUCUAAUUCAUUUAAAUAUCAUGGCGUGGUUUUCUUUCUUGGGUUUCUUUUUCAAUAUUCGAUUCAGUAGAGAAAACCGAUAAUUCAAUUGAUUUUAACAUCAUGGCAUGAUUACCUUCUUGGAUGGUUUAUCCUCAGAUUUUUUUUUUAAGUUUUAUUUUUAUUUUUAAUUCAUCAGAGAAAAUCAACGAUACAAUUCAUUGAAAGAUUGUGGCACAGUCUUAUUCUUGGGUUUCCUUAGGGGUUUUUUAUCCAUGAUAAAAAAACUGAUUAUUCAAUUCAUUUUUAUAUCAUGGUGUGGUUUUCGUUUCUUUGGUUUUAUUUUCAAUUUUUUUAUAUUAUUCUAUUCAUUUUAAUAUCGUUUCAGAUUUCUUGGGUUUCACUUCCAAUUUUUUGUUCAGCAGGGAAUAAGAAAACUGAUUACUCAUUUCAUUUUAUUAUCGUGGCAUGAUUUUCUUUCUUGCUUUUUAUUUGAAUUUUUUUUUCAUUGGAGGAAAUGGAUAAUUCACUUCUUUUAAAUACCACGAUGUGAUUCUUUGAUUUUCUUUCUCAGGUUCUUUUUUUGUACAGGAAAUUUAUAAGUUUUUUUUUCCUCAUUUUAUUUUCUUUAUUUUGGAAUUGGGAAUUAAAGGACACAAAUAAUCAGAGACCUGCUCAGGCUGAACCUGUCAUGGAUGGAGGUGAUUGGAAGACUCAUCUUUCUGCUGAUUCACGCCAUAGGAUUGUCAAUAAAAUGUGAGUGUUUUAUUUCAAUUACCAAAUGCAAAUGUUUUGAGGAUCUUGGGAAAGUUCUAGUGUUGGAACUUAAAACUGCUUUUCAAUAGGAAUUCUUGAUAUUGGUUAGGGUUUGAAACUACUGUUCUUGGAUACACAAAUUCCUUUUUACUUGUAUUUUAGACUUUGCUUAAAGAUACAUGAUUCAUUAAUCUUUAAAUUCCAAGAGGUUAUUUGUUUUUAAGACAAUAAAGAUACAGUCAAAUUUUCUUUCGGAAAGAUUACUGGGGAAGCAGCUAAAUUUGUCUGAGCUCUUGUUAAAAUGAAUAUUUUUGGCUUGUAUUUGGAUGCAUGUACAAUUUCAUUUUGUGUGGUUUUACAUUUCGAAGUUUUGAGAACAUAUUUUGAUUUGUGCAAGUAUUCCUUUUGAAGUUUCACAUUUCUCUUGGCUUGUAUUUGGAUGCAUGUGCAAUUUCAUUUUGCUUGUUUUUAUAUUUUGAAGUUUUGAGCUAAAAAAUAUUUUGAUUUGUGCAAGUGUUCCUUUUGAAAUUUCACAUUUUCUCGCCUUAUAUUUUAUUGACUAUUAGCUUUCAAUUUUAACUGAUGAAGGUGAUGUCAGUUAGAAUUUCAUAGGUGCAGAAUAUAAAGAAUGUACUGUAAUAUUGCCAAAUAAGGAGGAGAGGUUGUGGCAAGAAAAUGAGGAUGCCUGUAUCUUAGCCUCACUCUGUGUAAUUACACAUUAUAUAAAAAUUAUUAAAUCAUUUAAAAGAUUCUUGACAGAAGAAAGAGUGAUGAUAGGGGAAAAAGUUAGAAAGAAAUGAAGCAACUUAUUCCUUGUUGUUGUUGAUAAAAACUUUUUCGUCAUGGUUGAUUAUGCCACCAUAUAUUUGAUUUUGAAGUUGUCACUGAUAUGCAUUUAUCCUCUGCACUUGGGUCUUAAUGAGACCAUUCUGGUGCUUGUACAGUAGAACAGUCCUCUUUUUUUAUAGAAUGCUAUAUUCAGCUUUGAAGGUGAUCUAGAACACAUGUACAAAUGAUCAUGAACAGCCUAGUUGUAUGAUGUGGCUAUUCAUAUGGCAAUGCUAGCAUGAUGAUUUGGUAUUCCACAAGGUUCUCAAGUCAUUAAGUUUAAGCUGUUAAGAUUUGGAUCCAUAAUCAUGCUCUAACAUCCUUUUCAUGAGUCCCCAUGCUAUGAUCACACACAUGGACCAUUCUCGUUAUGAGACUCAAAAACCACAAUAGUGACAAAGAAAUCACACAUUUGUGAUCAUGUAUGAUCACACACCUCUCAAAUUGCAAUAGUGAUAGACAAACGUAUAUCAUGUUGUAACACCCCCCUCAAACACAUUCCUGUACCCACCUUGGGUGUGAGAGACAAACUAUAGUAGUAGUAACAGACAAAUCACACAUUUUCUAUUGCAUGCAUGUGGCCCUAUACCUGCCAUGAGAGACAUAAAUCAUGGUAGUAGCAAACAAAUCUCAACCCUCCCAAAUCAUAGUAGUGGUAGAUAAAUCAUACAUUUGUGAUUACACAUAAUUAGACAAAUAAAUAAAUGGGGGAGUGAUUUCAACUCGAGACCUCUGAAUAACCUAAAAUAUGAUACUGUUAAGUAAUCAAUUUUCGUCAAAGUUUUGAGUUAUCAAGAAUUGGACCCAUAUUGUAUAUUAUAUUCUAACAAAAGCAAUAUUAGUCUAGGUUAAGCUAGUCUACAUAGGUGGUCUAAAAAUAUUCUUGACCUCUAACCUCCAAACCAGUUUCUCCUAUUGGCAAGAAAUAAGUAUAGUGACCAAAGAACUUGCUUUAAUCCUUGGUCUAAUUACUGGAAUUCCAUGAAUUGUUUGGGGGAAUAUAAUUGAAUUUCAUUGAUUCUUGUAUUUGGGAGUUCAAGCCAGGCAAGACACAAUAAGUUCUUGUGAGCAUGUUAGGUACAUUAAAAAUCAAUACAUGAGGAAGUUCAAGUAUGAUCAUUACAAAACAGGAACGAGAAAAAAGGUAUUAGAACCUGGAGUAAAUUGCAGGAGACAAUCUUUUGUGUUUGACUUGUUCAAAGGAAGGGAUGCAAGCAUGGAAUCCUAUUAGUUAACCAGCUUUCUGGUUGUCUUACUCUCAAACCCUCUCUUAUUAUGGGAUGAUAGUCCCUUUCCUUCCUUAAUAAAAAUAUUCUAUUUACUAUAAAUUCCUUGUUUCAUGCAAUAUUGUUUUCUCGUUGGAAAUUUAUGUGACAUGGUCAGUGCACAACUAGCAUGAUUUCCUAUUGAAGAGUUUUAUUUUUUUUGUUUUUAAAACUUUGCAAUGAUUACAUGACAAUAAUUUAUCACAAUUUGAUGUUUUUUUAUGUCUAGCAUGGAGACAUUGAAGAGACAUCUUCCUGUUUAUGGACCAGAGGGACUGCAUGAGCUAAGGAAAAUUGCUGAAAGGUUUGAGGAAAAGAUUUAUUCUGCUGCCACAAGCCAGGUAUAUCCAUCAUGCUAGUAUUUACUCAACCAUUCCUCAAGGCCUAUGAGCAUUUUUUGUAUCUAUCCUUAGUAUAAAAGAUUAAAGUGCAAAACUUAUAUUAUAUUAUCUUAGUUUGUCAUUCAUAAUUUGAUGAAUUGAUAUAUUUUUUAUUUUUACCUCUAAUUCAGUCUGAUUACCUCCGGAAAAUAUCUUUGAAGAUGCUGACAAUGGAAACAAAAUCUUUUAAUGCUGCAACCAAUUCUCUGCCAUCCAACUCUGCUGGUCACAGCAAGAAAUCCUCUGCUAGGAAAAAAUCCCUCAGAUCCAGGUAAUAACAUUAAGGAGCAAUGUGUUUUUUAUGAAAUGCAACAGUCAAAAAUUUGCUUCUAUGGAAUGCAACAGUGGAAAUUUUGCUUUUUAUGAAAUGCAAUGAUGGAAGUUUUGCUUUCAUGAAAUGCCACAAUAGAAGUUUAGCUAGCACAUCAAUAUAUUCUUCUCCAUUUUGUAGUUACACUUGACAUGCAUUACAUUUAUUGUGUGCACCCAUGUAUUAUGUGUGUACACACGUGUAUAAUUCUUUUUCUAUUACCAUGGCUACACAUUCCUCUUGUUAGGCAAUAAAAAAUUUGUAUCUGAGCUUAAUUUAUGUAGGACAAUUUGUAUUGAAUUGGGUAUGGAAGCAGCCAGUGGCUGCUUCUUUCCCCCCCUUUUCUCUGGGUUGGAGGGUAGGGUUAUGGAAAGGAGUAUGGAAUUAAUUGGAGCAAUGGUCUAUGAUCUGAGCUCCUGCAAGCACAAAGGAGGGGUGCGUAUGGGAGUAGCUUGCUACUUCUUUUUUUCCCCUUUCCUUUGGAUUGGAUUGGGGGGUAGGGAUAAGGUUGUGUGUCAGCAUCUUGACUUGGAUGAUACGGUACCAAGGCGACAUUGAAUGACACUUUGCACCCAUGAGUGCCUAUUCAGCAAGCAAGCUGAUGGACCAAGGUUUGAUGAGAGAUCAUGUGAAGGCUUGGUUGCUGCUCAAGCAGGCAGCAGAUGACACGUAGGCUAGCAUGUGGGGCAGCUUGACUUAGCCAAAAUUCAAGUGUUUGAUUUUAGGUCGCCAGUAUUUCCCUUCAAAGAUGAGGUCCUAAGAAUGGUUUCCAUGAGGAAUUAUAAUUUCUUCAGAUUUUUCAUUUUUUUUAGAGAAUUCAUUAUGCAUACUCAAGCACAUAUGAUGUGUCCCAGUAUUUUGGAAAUGGCUUAGAAUGUUUUUUGUGGAGAGGGUAGUUGACUCAAAGGUGGUGAGGAUUGCAUGAACUAUGCGAUGUAAAGAGCAUGGUGUAGGGGCAUAACAAUACACCUCUUUGGAGAUAAACUAUGUUGGUUUAUGUAAGAUUUGGUGUGGUACUUCUAUACCUUUCUUAUUCGUAUCUUGGUCAUAAGCUAGAAUGAGAGCCCUAGAAUAGAGAAACAACUUGAUAAGUGGCCCAGAGCCACAAUAAGAGAUAUUUUAAAUUUAUUUAUAAUUAUCGCAUGAGAUAAUCAGUGGUGUGUUUAUCGAGCUCUUUAAAUUUGAUUUUCGAAAACCCAUCCUUUAUCUCAUAGGCUCUAUAACUAGGAGUUACUCUCCUUCUCUUAAAUGUUUUGAGAAGCUGAGUAAAUAGAAUUGCUUGAGAGAGAGGGUCUCUUUUUUCAUUGAUCAAGAGAUUUUUAGGCUAUGGAAAUAUAGUGUAUGCUCUAUGGCAUCACUGUUUGGGUGUUAGUAUUGCGAGGAAUGGCAGCGCAUUCAAUUGAGACUUCUGCUUCAGUCAAGUAUGCUAAUUUUAUGAUCCUUUAAUUUUCUUUAAAUGUCCUAACAUAAUUAUGUUGUUUAUGAUUAAAUUCUUAACAAGUGGGAAAACCAAUCCCGAGAAUUAUUCUAAUUUUUUCCCCAAUAAAUUUGUCCAUUACUUUAACAUCCGUUACAUAUUUGAAAGAACUAAAAUCCUACCUCAUAGGGCAUAUAGUUCUCACUAACUCCCAUUUUCUGGAGGGUUACUCAAUGAGUUGACAGCAUUACUGUACUGACCUAAGUUUCUGAAAUAACCAAUUUCGAGUUUCCCAUGUUCCAACAACCUAUAUUUACCAUUAAAAUUGUCUUUUGUUGGACUCGAUUUCCUACCUCAUAGGACACUAUCAUCUAAAUGAUGCCUUGCUUUUUUCACUCACUCUACCCAUUUGCCAGGAAGCCAGGAACCCAUGAAAAUGAGGGUGCAUUCUUUUUCUUAUCCAUUUUCUGUGACAAACUUUGAAUUUUAGGGUAUUCUCCAGUUUAUGACCUUUAUCACACCUCCUUGAAAUACAUUUAUCACCAUGGGAAGUCAACCUCAAAACGUCUAUUUAAAGAAACAGAAGAAAAGGAGGGAAUUUAAAUUGUAAUGGAGAAUACAAUAUGAAAAUUUUUGAAUGACCAAAAGACUAUCUUCAUCCACAACUAACUUUCUACUAGCGUUUACCUUUGGAAUUCCAACCAAAUGCACUCUCAAAUCCAAUCUCCCAACAUUGUAAUUCAUUAUUCCAAAGUUCUUCUACCCAUGCUUGCUUAACUUGAGUACGAUCUGUACCUUAUGCCCAAAAGACUAAAUUUUUUACAUUACAAUGGUUUCUAAUCAUACCCCAUUUUUUUCCCCAUUAUUAAUCCAUCCAGAGCUUGAAGUUAAGAGUAAGAUAUUUUGUCUUUAGUUGGCUUAAUCUUCUUGUGAAAUGCAUUUAUUUCAUUCUCCUACAAGGAUAAAAUCCAUAGCUUAACCAUCAAAGUUCAUUGUUAAAAUAUUCAUGGCCUUUGAUCCAGCAACUCCUGACAGCUUUCAAUAGAUUGAAUGAAAAUAAAAUAAUAAUAAUAAUAAAAAAAAAAACAUGAAACCCAAGGAUAACAUUCAAAUACCCCUUCCAACAUGUUACAGCAAAUCAUUCCAUAUAUUGUAAUGGAGGUUGAGAUCCUGCCCCCAUUUGAAUGAUAAAUCUCACUCAGUUUAUAUAUUGGCCAAUAAACAACCAUCUUCCCUUUAGUCAUCUCAAGCUCAUGGCACAAGGGAGCUAAUUCUGUUGGUUAAAAUGAUUAGUCAGAAAAACAAUGGACUUCUUUUUAACAUCUACUUCUCAUAAUCCCAUGAACCCUUGGAAGUUGUCAUCACCUGUCUCAGUAUGUCCUUCAAAAUGCCACACACCAGGCAAUUAGCCUACAGAGAUCCCUGUGGUGAUGUUUUACCUAUCAAGAAAUCCAUGGCCACCAUCCCAUGAAUCUAGAAACUCAAACUACAGUCUUUCAUGUUAAUCUGCUAGCAGGAAUGUUCACCAGACCUUGGAGAUGCCUCAACAUUAAAGGAAUUUCUCAUUUAAUUAUGGUAAGAGGCAAGUGGAGGAAAACAAUCUCGACAGAAGAUUCAGCCAUUUGUAAAUUGUGUAAGCACCGACAAUUUUAAGAAUCUAAGAGUAAUUUAAUCGAUAACGUAGGAGUAUUUUCAUGCAACUUCAUCCAUUUUCCUUCAUUUCAGUUCUCUGAUUAAAUCUCUUUUCAUAUGGCUUGGUGUUGAGAAAGAAAUGUUACAUUUUCAAUUUGGGAUCUUAAGAGGCAUGAAAAAUGGAAUCUUUCUUCAGAUUUCUUCUUAAGUUCCACAGAUUUGGGAGGUUAAUUCUCUUCCUUCUCCCCCUUCUCCCAACCAAGAUUAGAAUCUUUCCCAAAUUCUAAAACUCUAAUUUUAUCAACACUUCAAAGUUCUUAGUUGAAUUUCAAAUUAGGUUGAAAUCACGUUGCAAUUUUGAUCUUAUUCUGAGUGGCAUUAGUGAAAUUUUGGUAUUUUAUUGAUUGCUAUGGAGGAAAGUUCAAAUUUUGGUUGUAAUGUAGUUGUUUAUGUAUGAGAUAGGUGUGAAAGGUGUUUAUUUGCUUAACCUUUAUAUAUUUUGCAGACUCUGAGGCUGGAAAAUGGAGUUGGUUGGAAGUUGCAGCUUCAUAGGUCUACUAUGAUUUGGAAAUUUGGAAAUGUAGAAUCCAAUUUACAAACUUGAUCUAUAUUUGCUUGAUGUUUGGAUUUGCUGUUGGAAGCAGCUAUGGAAUGCUUCAGUUUUUACUAAUAAAAAAGGAGAUGGAUGUCUUGUUUCCAGGUUUACCUUUUUAUUUAUACUUUAUUUAAUAUUUUGCAAAUAUAUUAUUAAAAUUCAAACCCUCUACAAACUAUAUUAUGCAAUGAAUAUUGUAAGAUAUGAAGUGAUUGAUUUACAAUGAAUAGACAUUGCAAGAGCUUUUGUUGUGACAAAAAAAAAAAAAAAAAGUUUUGGUUUUUUUUUUAAAAGUGAAAUAAAGAAUAAUUUUUAAAACCAAAAUAAAAAUAUAAAGAAAUUAAAAAAAAAUCAUUAAGUACAAAUAAAAUUCAAUAUGAUAUUAUUAUUUUUCUUUUUUCAUAAUCCAAUAUAAAUUUCGAAGAAUUUUCAUUAAACAAAUAAAUUGUAAAUCAAAUUUAUUAAAUUUUAAAAAUAAUUUGAGGCCCAAAAAUCAAUUUAAUUAGUAUUAAAAAGUAUCAGUAAAAUUAGAAAAUCAUGGACUAAAAUUUAUUUUGAAUGACUUGCUAGUUUCGUUUUUACAUGUAUUAUUAUUAUUGUAAAUUUUUUCAGCAAAUAAGCUCUAAAUCAUGUGAGAUUUAAUGUAUUGGAUUCAUUAAAGAACCAAACAACUUUAUUAUUUAUCUUCUUUUUAGAGCCAUAUUAUUUUUAAAAAAAAUUAAAAAAUAAUUUUUAAAUUAUUUUUAAACCUUACUUUGAUGGUAAAAUUUAAAAAAAAAAAAAAAAAAAAAGGAUUGGUAUUUAAUCAUUUUCUUGUAGUGUUGGGCAAACAUUGCAAGGCUAGUGCAGACCCCAAUUUUGGGCCCUUAGGAGGCACUUUUCUCACCACCCUUAGAAGCUUCGAGACUUCCAUUUCUUGGCCACCUUUGGGGUAGAGAGAGCAGGUUUCUAGGUUUCUUUUGGCCCACCCGGGCUGAGACAAGUGGAGGAGGAAUAUUUUCUACCGUGGCGGGUUGUUUCUGCAGAUUGGUUGGGAAAGGUAGGCUGUCAGAGGAGGACACGUAGAGAGAGUGAGUUGGGUAGAGAUUUUGGAGGAGAAACCAUAGGGAAAAACCAGGGUGAAAUCUAGAGCAAGAAGAGGAGAGGAGCAUAAGAUGAUAGCCAAACAGAAUAUACUCAAGCUUCAGCUCUCCAAACAUUGAAUAUGGAAAGCAAAUUGAUUUUCAACCAUUUAUCACAAAAAGGUAAUUUGUGACUCUUUGCAAUUGGACAAGGAGAACAAGAAUCACGUUUAUUUCUUUGAUAAACAAUAUUACAAGAAUCAAGAGCUUUUGUUAGAAUAUCAUCAGUUGGAUGACCAAGCCUGGAAUGCCAGAGGCUAGAGGUGAUGUUUGAUGUUGUAGGAGUGUAGAAGACUGCAAGGGCAUCAUCAAUCAAAGGAGGAAAUUCAUAUAAGCCAUUCUUAAGUUGUCCUUAAAAAAGAACUUGUCUUGAGACCUGAUCUCUGACAAGAAAGAACUUUGGGUGAAACUAAAAAAAGACGUUAUUAUCGGUACAAAAUUUGGAAACACUAAUUAGAUUAGUAGUGAGGUGAGAAACAUGGUAGACUUUCUUUAAAUGAAAAUUUAUGAAGGUGGACGAAAAGAAUUUUGAACCAGUGUGGAGGAUUGGAAGUUUCUUACCAUUUCCAACAAUAACUUGCUCAUUUCCUUUGUAUGCUUGAACAUCAGAGAGACUCUUAAUAUCUCGAGCUAGAUGAUGAGUGGCCCCAGUGUCAAAGAACCAUGUCUCACUAUUUUUCGGAGCUGGAGAUGCAACCAUAACUUGCGUUUGGUUGUUGUCGUUGGAUGUAUUAUGUACAGAAGAACUAUAUGCAGAUGUAUAGCCUUGAAAAUUAAUAUCAAAUCUGUGAUAGCACUUGUGAACGAUGUGACCAUAUUUUCCACACAAUUGGCAUUAUGGACGAUCAGUAGAGAUAACAUGGUUUUCUUAUCCUCUACCACUAGAUGGAUAUCUUCCUGGUCGAGGGCCAUUUUUGUUUUGAGAGAAACUGAAUCUGUUGUUGUGCCUUUUGUUGCUGUUAUUUUUGUGUUGAGAUGUUGCAAUAUUUGCAAUGACAAGAUCACUUUCAGGUACUGUAUUUUGGAGACACAAUCAUUGCUCGUGAGUAAGAAGAAUACUACUAUGUAUUGAGUGAAGAGAUAGAUCAUUUUCUCGUGCUGUCAAAGAAGCUACUAUGGAGUUAUAAUUAGCUCCAAAACCCGUAAUAAGUUGAAGAAUUCGGUCCCUUUCAAACACUGAUUCUCCAAUUGUUGCUAGGUUAUCAAAAAUAUUCUUGAUCCUGAGGAUAUUCGACAUCCAAUGAUAUUACUAUCAGUAGGAGGAGGAACUAGCUGUCAGGUAUGGUUUUGUAUGAGAGCUUUGUAUUCCGUUUCCAUGGCUGAAACCCAAUUUGGAUCCUUGGAGGCUUGUUGGAAAGAAUAAGGUUCAGUAGGUUUAUGAGCCAAGAGAAGCUUCUUCUUAAAGAUUACAGUUUUUGCCCGGGUGAUCCUAGGAUAUGAGUUGUGUGGUGCUGAGGGAUUAGUAAGAGAAGAACUGGAAGAUGCACUGAAAGGAACUGAAAUAGGGUCGUGUACAAGAAGUAAGAAAGCUGAAUUAUGGGAAGAAUGACAUGAAUGGGCAGAAUUAGACAAGUGAGGAGACUAAGAUGUAGGAACUGAAGAGUGUGAAGUCUGAGUUGGUGGAAUAGACAAUGGUAUAGGUAAUAAGGUUGGAGUAGACGUGAACUGAGAAGAAGAAGAUGCAGAUGAGGUGUUAAUAGUCUGCUGGAAUGGAAAUUUUGUCUCAUGGAAUUUUACAUGUCGAGUGAUAUAUAUGCGGUUGGAGUUAAAGUCAAAGCACAUGUAACCUUUGUGAGUAGGACUAUAGCCUAGAAACACACAUGGAUUAGAGCGAUAACAAAGUUUAUGUUUAUUAUACGGGCGAAAGUAUGGAUAGCAUAGGCAGUCGAACACUUUGAGAUGGUAAUAGUUUGGAAUUUUAUUAAACAACACUUGAAAAGGAGAUUGAAAUUGAAGAACUUUAGUUGGUAACCGAUUAAUGGGGUGAGUAGUUGUAUGAAAGGCAUAAAUCCAGAAUUGUAAUGGUAAAGAAGCUGUGGUUAAUAAGGUAAGACCAGUCUCAACUAAAUGUCUCAUUUUUCGUUCAGCUCAACCAUUUUGUUUAGGAAUAUAGGGACAAGAACUUCUAUGUGUAAUCCCAUGAGUGGUAAGAUAAGAUGUGAAAGUUUUGAAUAAUCCACCAUUAUCAUAUUGCAAAGCUCGCUUAGUCAUUCAAGGUUUCACGCAAACUCCAUGUUUGGAUUACUUUGAAACUUUUAGUCAUGUGAUGAAAGCUUCAACAAUAAGAAUGUGCUUGCCAUUGCUGUUUCUUUCCAGUGGUCACUCAGACAACUAGACGUUCAAAAUGCGUCUCUGAACGGUGACCUUGAUGAACAAGUAUUCAUGGCUCAACCCCAUGGUUUUGUGGAUCCUCAGUUUCCUUUCUAUGUGUGUAAACUCAACAAAACACUAUAUGGACUUAAACAAGUCCCACGAGCUUGGUUUCAUAAGCUUAGUCAUGCUCUUCUUCAAUGGGGAUUCCAAGCCUCAAGAACUGAUAGUUCCAUGUUUUUUUGGUAUUCAGCAACUGAUGUUUUAAUCUUACUUGUUUAUGUUGAUGAUCUUCUGGUGACUAGAAGUAAUUCUUCUCAAGUUUCCUCUUUUAUUUCCUACCUCAACUCUACCUUUGCCAUCCGUGAUCUUGGACACCUGAAUUAUUUUCUUGGUAUUGAGGUAAUACACCAUGGAAGCAAGAUGCACCUCGGUUAGCACAAAUAUGUCCAAGAUCUUCUUGCACGUACAAAUAUGUUGGAUUCCAAACCAGCACACGCACCUGGAAUGCUGGGCAGAACACUUUCACAACAUGAUGGUCCUCCAUUUUUGGAUAUCAAGCUCUAUCGUAGCACCGUCAGCACCCUUCAGUAUGUCACUUUAACUCAGCCCAACAUUGCAUUUGUUGUUAACAAAGCUUGCCAAUUCAUGGCCAAUCCCACAGAAACUCACUGGCUUGUAGUUAAACGAAUCCUUCAUUACUUAAAAGACACCUCAAGUUAUGGUCUACAACUGCACCAAGCUAACUCCUUUGAUCUUCAAGGGUAUACAUAUGCAAAUUGGGCCUCUUGCCCAGAUGACCGUCGGAGUACCAACGGGUAUUGUCUCUUUCUUGGACCCAACCUAAUAUCUUGGUCAUUGCCUAAACAAAGGCAAGUAUCCCAUAGCAGUGCAGAAUCUGAAUAUCGCGGUCUAGCUUCUCUAACUUCAGAAAUCAUAUGGGUCCAGUCUAUGCUCCAAGAAUUAUGUCUCUCUCCCUCUGUUCCUCCUUUUGUUUGGUGUGAUAAUCAAAGCGUAGCUCAUCUGGCUGCUAACCUGGUUUUUAAUGCUCGAUCUAAGCACAUUUAACUAGAUCUUCACUUCAUCCGAGAUCAUGUCCUUCGCAAAAAUCUCAGCAUCCACUACAUUACAACCUGUGAUCAAAUUGCUGACAUUUUUACCAGGCACUUACCAAACUCUCAGUAUCUUGGAUUUAGAACAAAUCUUUCCAUUGUUCCUCGCCCUGUGAGCUUGAGGGGGGAUGAUAGCCAAACAUAAUACACUCAAGCUUCAGCUCUUCUAAACCAAACUGAUCAAGAAAAUUCAGUAGACAAAGACUAAUUUUCCAUGGUUGCGUUUAAACUCUAGAUUCAUGUUUUCAUUUUUUUAAUUCAACAUAUACCAAAAACCCUUAAAUCCAAACCAGUUGCGACUCUAAGCUAUUUCAUUAAAAUUUAAGAUUCAACUAAAAGAAACCAAUAAUGUCUCCAUGAAUAUCACUGUCACAUUAUGCUAUUUUCAUUGACUUAAAAAAAUUGAACUCUAAUAAGCCAUUAACACCAUUGAGAACCAAUAUGCAUUGCCAAGUAAAUGAUUAAACAACAAACAUGUGUGGCCUUUCUUACAUUCACAAGAAGUCACUAUUCCUAUAAUCUAAUAAAAUAAACAUGAGAAAGUGAUUUAAAAUUGAAUAAAAUUAUACUAACCUAUGUUUAGUGAUGCUCUGAAGUUGAUGGAAAGGGUGUAUUAUAGCCAAACCUCACACAGUGAUGAAGAUAACAAACAGUGGUGUGUUGAUUCUCUGAUAAUAGUGAUGAAUGACUUUAGCAGUAGUGAAUUCAACGAUGGAUCAAACUAUAAGUUUCGAUGGGUCUCUAGCAGUGGUGAAGAUGCAAACGAAAAUCUAAACCCUCUUUUCAGAUGAAGACAUUGGCAAUGGUGAAGAUGUGCUAGAAAUAGAGGAGCGGUAUAGAUGCUGUAAUACCUGAGUUUUUAAGUCCAUGUCAGAUUUUAGGAGUAUAAAGUCUUUUAUAAAAUUUUGGGUCAAAUGAUCAAAAAGAGUUGUGAAAAUCCACGUGUUAGUAUCUAAUUAGAAGAGAUUUUGGAAAAGUUAAUCAAAAGUCAAUAGUUUGAAAAUUUUGUCACGAUGUAAGGAGUUUGAAUUUUGGAAAUUAAAUUUUGAUUUGGUGAAAAAAAUACCAUCAAAUAAUUGAGAUUAGGUUUUGAAAAUUUGAAUAUUAAGUAUGUUAUAAGAAUUAAUUUAAUUAUUAUUGGAUAAUUAUCAGAAAAUUGUAGUAAGAAAAACUUGAUAAAAAUUUAUAUUAUAUCAAAUUGUUAUCAUGGAUAAUUAAAAAGAAAUUGAAUUUAAUUUUAUAACAAAUCAAUUUAAUUCUUAUAAUUGGAAUUAAACUUUAUAGAAUUACAAAACAUUAAACAACUUUGAAUUGAAAUUAAAUUAAGAUUAAAUUAUGAUAUGUGAAUUUAGAAAAGAUAUACAAAAUGGGUAAAUUAAUUAAAUGUGAAUUUUAUGAAUUUAACUUUUGAAAUUUUGAUGCGAUUUAAUAUUUUGACAAAUGAAGUAAAUUAAAUAAAAGUUCUACCAAAGGGUUGAGAAUUUGAUUUUUAUAAAUUGAAUUACUAAUUAAUUUAUGGAAUUAAGUUUUAGAAUAUUACUUAAAUUUUUGUUGGUAAAUAAAUAUUGAUAAAAUUAAUGGGUUAAGGGUUAUUACAAAUUUCAACUUCUUGGUUGCUGAAAAAAUUAUUUUAUGUUUUUAAUAUUUUUAUAGAAUUGAAUUUUGUUAAUAGUUAAUUAUAUCAUGUUUUAAGUUAAUUUCACAGUAAAAAAGAAAAGAAAAAAGUUUUAGGUAAUUAUAGUCAAAUUAUACUUUUUUAAGAGCAAACUUAUACUAAAUUAAAUUACGAAUAUGGUAGUAUUUUUCAUGUAAUGGAAAAUCAUAAGUUGGGUAUAAUUCAUAAUUACGAAAGGUGAAGUUAAGAAUAAUGAUUUUAAUUUAUUGAGAAAUGGACGUGCAUGGUAUUUUAAAAUUUGUUUUAAUAAUAAUAAUUAUUACAUAUAUACAUAUAUAAUAAGUGGCUUGCUGGGCAUGGGAGACAGAAGAAAAAAGAAAUGAAGGGAAAGUGAGGCGCAUGGGAAAUGCAGGGGAGGUUUUCCGUUGUGUGCCUCCAUCGAUCCGAUGGUGCAAAAACCUCCGAUCGUGACAAAAUUUCAAACGGUGAUAGUCUUCAAUGUGGUGAACACUUUUACAGAGUCGGAUUUUCGAUCCCACAAUUGGAUUUUACCGUACAAGUAGGAGUGUGUUUUUUCUAAAUUUAUCUCUCGACUUUUUUUGGGCUUUUCCUUUUGCUUUUAUUUACUUUAAAAAAACUCCAUGGAAAUGGGUGAGUUGUUGGGUUGUAGUAGAUCGUCAUAUAAUUUUUAUUUAAGUUGUUUUUGGAAACCCUAAACAUGUAAAAUGAUUUGGUUUUGCUUUGAAAAUGUUAAAUGGGAAGUAAAUGAAAGUUUAAUGCAAGAUAAAAAUAUUAGAAUUGUUGGUAUUUAAUUGUUGUUCAUGUGAUAGGAUUUACUGGAUUGUUGUAGUUAUGAAAAUUUUUUUUAUUGUAAUAUUGGUUAAUAUAUUUUUGUGAUUGUUGUUAUAUUAGAAAUUAUAUAAAUUAUUGGUGAUAAAUUAAUGUUGAAAAUAAUGGAAAAUAUUGGUUGAAAAUUUUGAGUAUUGAGAUAUGUUUAAAAUAAUUGUUUUAAAAUUAUUAAUAUUAUUAGAAAUAAAUAAAUUGCUAAUACAAAUUGGAGUUUUGUUGAUAAUUGAAUUAUUUGAAAAAUACUUUCCAAAUGUUGUGGUGGCAUAAUUGUAGAAAAUUGUUGUAUUGAGUGUUAAUAUUAUUGAGAUUAUUGGAAAUAAAUAAAUUAUGACAUAAAUUGUAUGUUGUUGAUAUUUGUAUUAGUGAGAAUUUUCUUAAAUAUGUGUGGUUAUUUAAUUGAAGAAAAAAAAAGGUUAUGUUGGUUGUUAGAAAUUAUUAAGCAUGUCGAGAAUAAAAAGAAUUUAUGUGGCUACAGUUUAAAACUAUGUUUUGAUGCUAUACAAUUAAUUGUGAAUUUCCUUUGAUAUUUGUGGUGAUUAAAGUGAAGAAAAAUCGUUGUGUGGAUUAUUGAAAAUUAUAAGACAUAAUGAGAGUAAAUAGAAUUAUGUCUUGAAAAAUUAUGGAUGUUGAAAUAUGAUUUGAUUGCACUUGAUAUGCAUCAUGAUUGUGUGAAGAAAAAGAAAAAUUAAACAAAUGGUUGUGUGAAAUGGAAAUGAAAAUGAAAAGACCUCGAAGAGGGAAAAAAGAAAAAAAAUGGAAUUACCCCAAAAGGGCGAAUUAAGAAAUAAGUGAGAUUCCUAAGGUGAAAGACCCAAAAGUUAACCCCGAGAAGACUUCGAAUGGGGAGUGUAUUUGGGUAUGGAAGCGUAUCUUUCGGUGAAAGCCCGAUAACAACAGUGCAUUGUGUGAUUGCGUGUAAGUAUUUACAUCAUGGUUGCAUUUGGAAGAAGGAUUUAUAUUAACUAUCAAGUGUAUGUUUGAAUAUAUUACUCAAGACUAAAAUGACUUGUUUAUUUUGUAAAUUUAGAAUUGUUGAUAUGCUAGACAUAUGAUUGAAUAAGGAAAAUGAUAAUUUUGAUUGGUUUAAAUUUCACUAGUAGAAAAAAUGCAAUUUAUGGCGCUUGAUUCCUUGGCGCCUCUAAAAAGUGUCAAGGAAUUGGGUCAACCUUGGCGCUUGUAGAAUAUUUAUAAACCUAGGCGCUUCUAAACCAUAUAUAUUUGAUUCAAUGACGCUUUUUAAGUUGAUGCUUUUGGAAGUGUCAUGGUUGGAAAUGGAAGGUAACCUUGGCACUUUUAUAAGUGUCAUUGAAAUGGAGUUCAGACAUUGGCACUUAUAUUAAGCGUCAUUGAAUUUACUAGUAUAUAUUUCUUUCUUUUUCCUCAUCCUAACACAUUACGCUCUCAUCCCAACCCUUGGAGCCCUAAGCCAGGACAAUCACCCACAUCUUCAACCACCACCAGCACUAAUCGAUGAGAAAAUGUUACGAACAUGUUGAAGGUACUCUCAUUUCAUUUCUUUUUGGUUUGUUUGCUUACCUAGAAAAUGAGAGAAAAAACCAUAAAUUAGGUUUAAAUUUUUUGAAUCUAAAAUCUUGAAAUUUUUUGGAUCCAAAAUCUUGAAUUGGUUGAUUAGAUUGUUUCAGUUAUAUAUAACCUUCUGAUUUUUAUGUUUGAUUGAGAAAAAUGUGAGAGGGAUUUGAAAAAUGCAGAUACCCUAUUUUCCUAAACCCUAACUCUUUAAACAAUCCAUUAUUGAGGCUUUCUCCAUUGUAAGGAACCUCGGGGUGCACUUGUUUUAUCCAUUAUCAGCUUCUAGAAUUGACUGCAUUUUUUCUUGGUUUCUCGAUCCACUUUACUUAACACCUCUGGUGCUGCUCCUAGAAGGGGCAAUCAGUGUAUAGAAUGAUGCCAGUUGUUUAAAUAUGUUUCACUUGUCCAAUAAAUGGUUGAAUUUUUGUUUAAGGUUUGGAGUAACACCAUUGAGUCCAUUAUGCAUACAAUUUUUAUUUCAGAAUUUCUUAAUUUUCUGAAAUGUUUUAUGUGCAGUGUUUGGGUUGCACGCAGACCACCAGGCUAUGCUUUUAUCGACUUUGAUGACCGUAUGUUUUAAAGAUUUUCUUAUAAUGGUGUUUAUUGUUCUUGAAUUUUCUCUAUGCUUGAACCCCAUGCCAACAACCAUUUCAUCUCCUUUCUCUAAUUUCUGGACAAGUUUGUCUUCCUCUUCACCUCAAUAAUUAUUAUUAAUUUUCAUUGCUAUUCAGGGUUGGAGACCUAAUAAUAAGAAAGAAUAUUCUGUUCUGUGUUGGGUUUUGGGGAUUUUUGGGUUUCAUGUUGUUGUGUUUCGAUCGUGUUGAUGUUUUUGUUUGUAUGAUGAGAGGGAUGCUAGAUAAUGACCAGGUGCACCAGGUCCAAAGUAAUGGGUUAUAUCCCAUUGGUCACUGCCCUGUGUGAAGAGAUAUCUGAGUAAAAGAAAUUUAUCUCUUAAUGACUUCAUCAACUGAGUUCAAACAUAAUUUAGUUUUUCUAUUGGCAUAAUUAUGUCGUUAAUUGAACUCACUUUAUGGGACAUCUCACCAUCUCACACAAAAGCCCCCCAAAAUACAGAAGAAAAGAGAUCAGUGCAAGGGGCACGUGAUUCCUUAAAACUACAAGAUGCAUAUCUAGAUUGGUAGUUAUUAUUAUUAUUAAUUUUUGAUAAGCAAAAGAGCAAUAGAAUGGGUAUGAAUUGGAAUUUGCGCUAGCUUUGAUUGCUUUUUUUUUUUUAUAGUGAAAAAGACUUGUAAUUUUUUUUCCCUUUAAGAUUAUUGGCUACCAAAUUAAAAAUUAUUGAAUUUGCAUUUACCAAACUUGGUAUUAGAUAAGAAUUGCAUAACAAAGUUUUCUCUUCUGUUAAAAUAAUUGUUUUCCAAACUAUGGAAUUGCAUAUAUAUGAGUAAACUGAUUGUACUCUUAGAGUGAUCAGUUGGAAAGAUGACGGUUAUAAGUUCCUCAUUACCUAUUUCUUCCAACUUAGCUUAAAUAUAUUAUUUACUCUUUCUAGUGUGAUUCUGUAUUCUGAUUGUCUUCUAAGCCUCUAUACAACAACUUAAUUAGAAUAUUUUCCAUAUUUUGAAGUAUCUUUUAUUUGAUAAUUCAGCUUAUGUUUAUCCUUUAAGUUUCUUUCCCUUUGUCAUCCUCUAAUUUUUCCUUAUUGUCUUCGGCCACUUGAAUUCUUGAUAUAAAUCUUUGGGAGUUUUUUUUUUUGCAUAAUGAUAGUUAAAAAAAUAUUAAUUGAAUUUAUUUUAUUUUAUUUUAAAGAACUAAAUGAUUUUAAUAUUUAAAAAAUCAAAUUUAAAAAAUAAUAAUUUUAUUGUUUAAAAAAAAUUAGUGAUUUUAAUAUUUAAAAGUUAUUUAUGAAUAUCUUAUCAACUUGAAAAGGUAAUUUGUAAACUGUUUGAAAAUUAAGACAAUAUUUUUCUAUUAUGGAGAUUAAUUUGAUUUAAUUAUAAAAUGAUCAAAUUUUAAAUUUAUAAUUUUAGCAAUUAUUGAUCUUAAUAUUUAAAGGUCAUUUAUGACUAUCUUAUCAAACUUGGAAAUGUAAUUGGGAGAGCGUUUGAAAACUAAGAUAAUAUUUUUCCAUUUAUGAAGAUUAAUUUGAUUUGAUAUUUAAAAUUUUAAAAUAAAAUUUUAAAAAUAUAAUUUUAUCGUUUAAUUAGUUUGUUUUUAUAUUUAAAAAUGUAAUUUUAGCUUUUAAAAAAAUUAGUGAUUUCAAUAUUUAAAAGUCAUUUACAAACUACCUUAUCAACUCGAAAAGGUAAUUUGAAGGUAAUUUGGAAAGUGUUUAAAAAGUAAGACAAUAUUUUUUUAUUUAUGGAGAUUUCUUUGAUUUUAUAUUAAAUAAAUCAAAAUUUUAAAUUUAAUUUUAUUGUUUGAAACUUCUAGUGAUUUAAUUUUAAAUUUAAAAGUCAUUCAUGACUACCUUAUCAACUUGAAAAGGUAAUUUGGAGAUUGGUUGGAAAGUUAGAUAAUAUUUUUCUAUUUAUGGAGAUUAAUUAAUUUGAUUUGACAUUAAUUUUAAACUUUCCUUUUAAUAUAAAAUUUUAAUAGCUUCUAAGUAAAAGGUCAUAUAAGUCUUUAUACUUUAUUUUUUAAAGAAGUUUCCCCUUUAGGAAUUAUAUUAACUACAAUAUAGUAAAUUAAAACUUGUCUAAUACACUAACAGGCAUAUGAAAAUCAAACCAAAUUUUGAUACUAAUCUUGACUUGGUUGUUUUCAUUUGUGCUCUUGUAGAUCUUAGAUUAGUUUAAUUUCUUAAAUUUGGCAUAUUGGAUUAAGAUAUAUACCAUAAGUUUGGCAUAUAUUUUUUUUACUCAUUUUAUAUCUUUUUUUUCAAUGAAAUAAUUUAGAUAAAAUAUGUAAUUCCACCUAUUUUCCUAAAAACUAGAUGUUGAUGCAUGUAUACACUAUCAUUUAUUUUUUAAUAAAUAUAAUUAACUUUAUUUAUUUUUCAUUGUCAGGAUUGCAAGGUUUUGUCAUAUGUUGACAAGGUUUGUGGGUUUGUAAAAUAUAGUCUAGAUUAUGUGUUAAGAACAAGAAACCAAUUAUACCAAUUUUAUUAUUUAUUUCUCAAGUUAGUCUACCAAUGUAGGUUUAGAGUACAUCACUUAACAAAAGCUAUCCAAACUCGUGAGCAUACCAUAUUUAUGUGGAGUUUGUUGUAGAUUUCCAAUAAGUUAAAAGAAACUUUAUUGUCUUUUCAAUGCCUUCUUCAACCUUGCGCACUCCACCUUAUACAAAGAAAAGAAAGAGGAUAGGUCAUUUCUAAUUUUUGUUUUUUAAGUGGACCUUCAUUUAAAGUAUUUGAGGCCUCUUUCAAUAUUAAAUGUAUAUAUUAUUUUAUUACCAAAAGUUACUCUAGAUGGUUGAGUGACUACACAACUAAUCCUAAUUUAAAAAUAUAAAAGUUUUGAGUAUUCUUUAUGUGGGUUCAUAAAUGUGUUCUCCUUCCCUCCUUAUUACGUUUCUAUUUUUUUUCUUUUUUCUUUUAUAAAAAAACAAGAGAUCCAACUUUCAAUGUUUUUUAAUAAUAUAUCUUCAUUAUUAUUGAAUGGAAUGAGAUGUAGUAGACAAAGUGGUCUUCUAUUGUUGAUACAGGAAAACAAGUUAUCAUUUUAUAUGACAAUUAGGAGUAGAAGGUAAUGACUGUGACAACUAGGAGCAGAGGGCAAGAUGCACAUAAGACAUUGUUUUUAAAGGCAAGUAUCUCCUCUAUUUAUAAAGGUAAUCCACCACUACACUAGAAACUUCUCUCUUAAAGAUAGAAUAGCUUGAAAGGAUGACUAAAUAGAAGAUAAAAUUUUAUUUCUAUUACUUUACAAAUUAAUUAUUUACUUUUAUAAUUGCAUAGGAGUUAUAUGUUAUCCUAAACAAGACAAUGAUACAUUUCAUGGUUUUAUUGAAAUAAAAUAUAAAAAGAAGUUUAUUUUCCUAUCCUUGGAUUCUUAUCAUACACUUACCUAAUGAUUUAUAUUUUCAAAAACUUUGAACAAGCACCUCUUAUCAACUCAAUAAAAUUAAAAGUCAAAGGAACUAAAAUAAAAGUAAAAACUAAUCAAGUAAAUAAAAAAUAAAAAUAUAAGAAAUUAAAAAAGAAAUUAAUAUUAACAUGGUGAUAGUAAGAUGGUUUUCAUCUUAUUUGGACCUUGGUAUUAUUUUUAACUGUGCAUAGUAGGUCUUAUGUUAUUCUUUUAUUUGAUAAUGUUUUAAGAGUUCUUUAUUAAAAGUCCAUAAGGAGCUGCCCCAACUCCUAUGCUUCAUUAAUUAGCUUUGAGGUUUGCAUUUGUUAAUAUUGAAAGAAACUAUGUGUUUCUUUCUUAUGAAGUAGGCAACCAUUAUCAUUGUAAUUCUUAAAAUUGAUGCUUUUGACGUUACUUGUUGGGAACAUGCAAGUAAGUCUGCUAGUUGAAUAUUCAUGUUGAUCCACUAAGGGCAUAUUUGAGUGCAUUUUUUUCUUCUAUUAUUUUUCUUUCAUGAACUUUAUAUCAAUAAAUCAACAUCGGAAUAAACAAGAGUUCAAGUUCAUUGCAUUGCUUUUCAAAUAUAUAACUUAAUUCAUUCAUCUUUCAUUUGCUUCAAUUUUUGAUUGACUGCUAUUUUUAUUUUUAUUAAUAAGUUUGAACUCGAUAAUGAAUCAAUUUUCAAAUCUCAUGUAUGAUUGUUUGAACAUUCAUCAGCCAGUAUAUGAUUAUGUAAAUUUUGUUGAAUUUUAAAUUUCAUCAUCAGGUUAGAUUUGGUUAAAACUCUUCAUAAUAUACAUUAGUUUUUCUUGUAAAUUAUUUUGAAUUCCUUUUCUUAUAAUUUUCUCAUUUUCUUGUAGUGGCUAUUUUGUGAAAAAUUAAAUCUGUCAAUGUUUAUUUUUAUUUUUUUUAAUUAACCUCUUUUGAUUUAUGUUACUCUAAUGUUAUUGAUAACCUCUCUGAAGCAAAAGCCUAAUGAAGAAGACUUUGACAGGGAUGAUGCCAAUGACAAGGUAAAUGAAGAUUUUUUUUUUGCACUAUCAACAUAGUAUAAAUCAUUUUAAAAUGGAUCUUUUCAAUAAUUAAGGAAACUAAGACAUAUUCAUGUGGUUGUAUACUUAAUGAUUGAGAUAAUUAUCUUACUUAGUAGCAGUAUUUUUUAACACUAAUAAUUUAUUUACUCUAGUAAAACUUUUUACCUUUGACCCAAUAAGAAGAAUAUUAGCAUGUUUGUUUUAUUGCUUUACUUGAACAAAAGCUAAUUAACAUGUUGGAUUAUUUUCUAUUCUCAUAUCCUCUUUGUUUCAAUUAUAUUGGUUGUUAUAUGUAUAAAUUUAAAGUUUUAUAUUUUUUUUUUAUUUACAGCUUGCAAAGGAAAUUGGCUUACAAGAAGAAGAGAAAUCAUUACAAUAAAGCGAUGUUGGAAAUCAUGAAGAUGAUAUCAUUUAAAUCUUUAAAAGGUUGAACUAGACUUUUGUUGAUGGUGGUUUCUUUUUGUAGUUAUUGCACCAGUAUUUGUUCUUAUAUUGGAUUUAAAAAUUCUCAUUGAAAUAUUUUGAUCUAAUGAACAAAUUUAUAAUUUGUAUACAAGUAAUUAUACUAAUUAUUGAAACUAAGCCAUUAUAUAUUAAUAUUUGGAGAUAUUUUAAUUUGUACAAUUCAAUUUAAUUUUAUGAUUUUGCUUUUAUUUAAUUAUAUAGGAAAUUCAUUAUUUUAAAAACAUAAUACCAAUAUUAUUAUUAAAAUAAAAUGCUUAAAGAUGACGCUUCUAUUAAAUGUCAUUAUUAACAUAAACCAAAGAUGACGCUUUUAAAAUUGUCAUUGAAAAAUAAUCCAAAGAUGACGCCUUGUAUAAGCGUCAUUAUUGACUAAAACAUAUAAUGACGGGGGAGAAAAGGACGCUUUAGAGAAGUGUCAUCUUAUGUUUUUCUUGACGCUUAAAAAACGUCAUUAAUUCCCUUUUUUCUUGUAGUGUUUGUAUGGUUGGGGUUUCUUUUAGUAUGUAUAUUGUAAAUGUAAUAUUAUAUUUUGGCAUAUGGUUGUAUUAUUGACUUAGAAUUUCUAACUUAUUUGGGUGUAAAACACCCUACUGAGCAACGUGGAAAUGCCCACCCCUUUAUUUUCUAAAAUUUUUAGAUGCAGAUAUAGUUUUUGAAGGACCACAGAAAGACCAAGAAGUGUUCCAGACAACAAAAGAACCAUAAUAAUGAUUGUUUUUAAAUUUAUAUUACCGUUUUGACAUGUACUAAUUUGAGUUAUAUGACAUUUUGCAAGUUAAAUUAUAUUUUGUUAGUUUGUAAAACAUUUUUGGAAAUAUUCUUUUUGGACUUAGAGAUUAUUGUAAAUAUUUGAGCUUUUGGGUAGGAAGAUGACUAGUGGUUUUAUUAUAAAUGUGAUUAGGAGAUAGUGUGAUGGUUGGUUUUGAAAGAAAAAAUAAUAAUAAUAUGUUACAGUAAAUCUUAACUUAAUAAAUUUAUUUAUAAUUAUACGCUUUAUUGAAAAAGAAAAAAAAAAUUCAAGGUGUUUUAAUUGAUUGCUAGUGUGGAUAGAAGUAACCCUUAGGAUCAAACCUUUUACCUAGGGUCACGAGUCAAGUUCUGGGUUGCCCAGAAUUUGGGGCAUGACAGAUGCAGUACUCCGAAAUCAUGAACGAAGAAGUAGUGAUGGAGACUUAUGUAGAGUGAGGUGAUGAUUAGUAUGGUGUUGCAAGUACUUCUUGGAGAUCUCUAUUUCAAAAUUGCAAAUGCAUUGGUAUGCUGUAGGUGCAAUGCCGAUGGAGACGAGCUAUAAAGAUGAACUAUUGUUCACACAAAAAUGGUGAUUUGUAGGUUUGAUGAUGAUGAUUGUAGCUCAUUUGCAAACAAUCACCCUCUAAUGGCUAUGAUGAUGACAAAUGUCGAUUUUCAGCAUGGUGGAAAUGGCGAGUGCCAAAGGUGGUGGUAACUUGUAGCAGCAUCGAUCUCUAGUGGUGAAAAUGGCAAGCUCUAAUGGUGGUGGUGACCUAUAGCAGUGUCGAUCUCUAGUGACUGUGACGACAAGCUCUAAUGGCAGUAAACUACGCCGGCAGCAACGAUCUCCAUGAAUAGAACAACAAGCUUCCACUAUGGUGAACUACUCCGGCAACGAUGAACCUACCUUUUUCAAUGUAGAAUUUGCACUCCUCCAGAAAAUGCCCAAAAACUGACUCCCUAUGUCAGUGAUGAACUCUCCUCCUCCAAAAAAUGCCCAAAAAAAAAAUGUCAGUGAUGAACUCUCAUUUCUCAACCUCAAAAGUCUCUAGAACUACAACUGUUACUCCUACCCGGUGUGGUGUGCAUGCUCCCUCAACAUAAAGAUUCCUCUUCUAGAGACUUCCCCCAUAAACCUCCUCAUUGAAUGCAUGGCAGUUCAAAAACGUGACUGGUAUUAGCUUUCUUGCAUGGCCUGUGGUGAUGCUCCCUCACCUGAGACUCCUCCUAAAACCAUCAUGAUGUCAUGUCUUGGAAAAAAAAUGGUGAUCCUUUUCAAAUGUCUCAUCGUGAUGCCGAAUGCAUGUCUCCAUCUCACCCAGAGCGCAUGUGUGAUAGCCAUCCAAGAUGUACGUGCCUCUAAUCUUCUGGAGUCUUCUAGAUCCCAUGCAUGGAGGUUAUCCUUUGCUGUGGUGCAAACCCGAGAAUCUAUGUGAGCAAUCUCAAAUAACAAUAACACUAUCAUUCUAUGAAAAAUUGUAGUAGAUUUUCCAUCUUGAGUGAAAGAAAUGCCUUUCGACGCAUGCCUUGGCCAUUACAGACGUGUUCAUCCUUAUCUCAUCCAAGCACCAGAAUAAUUACACAAAGAUAUUUUCUCCAAAUUCACGUGUCCCUAUCUCAUGACCUUAAAAAAUAAACAUGUAGCAAUGAUCAAAUCCCAAAAAAAAAAUUUAUGUAAAUCCACAUGCAAAAAUGUAGAAUCCAAAUUAUCACACAUGUCAUACAAUAUUAAAAAAAUUGUGUCAUGCAUCUUAAAAGAAAAACUAUAAUAAUAAAAAAAAAUCAUAUAAUAAGGAAAAAAACACAUUGAAAUACAUCUAACAAAAAAAUUAAAAUUAAAAUUUAUGAAAUUAGAAAAUCAAAAUGUCAAUCAUAUGCAAUCAAAUAUUGAAAACAACCAAUACAAUAAAUAAUAAUAAUAAUAAUUGAUAAAUUGAUCCAAAAUUUCCUUGAUCCUAGAAUCAAACAAAGGAAAAUAAGAAACACCUAAAUGCACUAAAAAAAACAAUCAAACAAAAUCCUAAACUAAGAAUCAAGAGUCAUUGCAAUCAAAGUUGGGAUCCACUUAAUCUCUCCAAAAUAUCUUUCACAUAAAAUCCAAAAACUAGUGGUUUGAAACAGUCACAAUUGACCACCAAUGAGAGCUCAAAGAUAGCUAAGAAAAUGAUCACAAGUGUACAAUAAUGUAAUAGAGAAUAAAUGAGGGCAGACUUGGGCAUCAUGUGCCAAGAGGAUAAAAUGGAGGGUCUACACUUGUCUGAGUGUUAGAAGUGAAAAGAACAUAAAAAAAUAAGUUUUCAGGCCAAAAAUGGUGAACCGAUCGAGGUACUAACCAACCUUCUUAACCGACUAGGGUAAUAGUCAACUGGUUAUACCUUUCCAAUUGAGGUACGAUCGAGAGAUGCAAAAAAUCUUCUUUCUCUUCCAAUAGUCUUGCAUUCUUUGUUGAGGGAUAUGCAUUCCCAGUCGAAAUCCGAUCAAAGUCUGGUCAAGGACCAAUCAAGGUCUAACGAUUACCUGCCACGCAUUUAUUGCCCAACGGCUAGUCAACUGGUCGACUACCAGCUUGAUCGAUCGAGAUUGUUUUUUGGCAUUUUAGCUUCCGAGUCUAGAAACCUAUAAAUUGAGAGCUCCACUUCAUUUAUGAAAAAGAGAACAUCUGUAUUUAUUUGUCUACCUACUUGUUCUUACCUCAAAAGCUCUCAUUCUUUUCUUGGUACAUUAAAUCUCCAUUUGCAUAUUUUUUUAGUGCACCUUUGUGAUUCAUCCUAGCAUUUGAGUCAUUGUUGAGCUAGGUUGAGAGAUUUGAAUUUGUUAUUUGAGUGUUAGAAUAUUCAAGUGAGUAGAGACUUGAAGGGAUUGUAUAAGAGCGCAUUGAAGUCGGAAUCCAAGUCUAAAGGUGUUGAAAGCUUGGUUGAAGCUUCAACUAUAGUGGAACCUUCACUCAGUUAGGAGCUUGAGGAGAGUGGAUGUAAGUAAAGGGUAUCAAACCACUAUAAAAUCUGAGUUUGCUUCCUCUAUCUUAUCUCUUUAUAUUUGUGCUUCAUUUGCUUGAAUUUGUUGUUUUUGAAAAAGAUUUUUUUAAAGCCCAAUUCACCCUCUUCCUUCCCCACCUUAGUGUUUUCUCUAUUAAGAUUAGUCUUUAUUUUCUUAGGGAGGUAAUACAAUUGACAAAGAAAUUGAUUUGUGCUUCAUGUCAUAGAAAAUGAUUAGAUGUUGUUGUUUAUAUUCUUAACUAUAAUCAUGCAAAAUUUAGGGUAUGUUUGAUUGUUGGAAAUUUAAGGGAAAAUGUUAGGUAAAGAAAAUAAAGAGGAAAAGUAAACGAAAAAAAAAAUGGGUUUAAAGUCAAUAAAUUAUUUUUAUUUGCUACUUCAAACUCAUUUACUUAUUUUAACUCAUCAAUAUAAAUAUUAAAUAAUUUGAAAAUGUAUAAGGUUUUUACUGGUUUUAAUUAUAUUUAAUUUUUUUUAAUAUUUUCCUUAUGACAACCAAAUAUAUUAUUUUCCUUGGUAUUUUAUUUAUUUCUUUAUCACUUUUCGAGAAUCCAACAUAACCUUACGACUUACUGCAACUCCAAGACAAGAACUCCAUUUAUUUUAGUGCAGCUAUAGGAUGACACUCAAGUCCUAAUGCAAGUGUUAGUUGGUCCCGAUGGAAGAGGACCGGUAUCUAAGCUUUGCUUGUAACAUCUUAAAGUUUUGUAUGUGUUCAAAGAUGGUGAUUUAAAUUAAGUUCUUCUAUUUUGGUAUUUGUCUCCAUAUUGAAAUCAUAUAUUUUUUCAAUUAUUUUUUUUUGCACAUCAAAAUUUCUAAAUAUAACUCCACUGUAAUACUUUUUCAUAGUUUAAACCAUAAAUCCUUACCUCAUGGCAUUAUCCAUCAAAAUUACUCUAAAAAUAUUUGGAUCUGUUUGACCAUAUUUUCUUAGAGUUGUUUUUUAAAAUUGUUUGUAAGUUAAAGAAUAAAAUACAAUUUUUAAAAACAAAUUUUAGAAAACAUGGUCAAAUUGGUCCAUAUUUUCCUUUUAUUUUUAAAAACGAAUGAAAAACAACUUUUACUUGUUCUCUAAAAAUUAUUCUUUAUUUCACAUUGUUUUUAAAAAUUGUUUCUAAAAAACAACGGUCAAACAAUAUUAGAAAAUUUUAAAAAAGGUUUUAUGUUUUUAAAAAUAAAAAAUUAUUUUUAAAUCAUACAACCAAACAAACUCUUUGAUUUUGAUUUUGUUUGAAAUACAACAAAUUCUUUUAUAUUUUGAGUGUUAGUGAGUAUUAUUAUUGUUAGACGAAUUCAAAGAAUUUUAUUUUUUAAAAAUAAAAUUCAGUUUUGCAUUUGAUAAUCCCCACCCCACCCACAAAAAAAAGGGAAAAAAAAAGAACAAACAAACAAAAAACAAAAAAUCAAAUGACAACCUAUGGUUGCCAACUCUUGACUAAAAAAUUAAAUUUUUUUAGUGGGUCAUAAGUCUAAGAACACGUUUGCUGCAAUUUACUUGUGCAUGCUUUCUAUUGCACUAUAAGAUAUACUUGCACUGCUCCACUUGGUCAAUUUUGCAUGUAACCAGUUUAAAAUGUUAGUAAACAUAAAUAUAUAUAGUUGAAUUUUACGGAUAUAUUAAAAAUAUAAAAAUGUAUCAAAUUUUUUAUAAAAAGUUUAACUUAAAUUUUUUUAAUAUAUUUAUAUUUAUUUAUUUUAAAAAUUAAAAACUAUUUUUAUUAAAACAUAUUUUAUUACAUUUUAAAUAAAAAAAUUGAAUCGAUUUACAUAAAAUAUUUUAUUUCAAAUAUAAUUUUUAAAAUUUUGUUAUACAUUUGUGGUGACAAUUUUUUGUUAUUAACAUUAAUUUAUUUAAAUAAUUAAAAUUAUUAAAAUAUAUAUUAAUAAUUUAUUUUAUCAAAUUAAUUUUAAUUUAUAAAAUAUUAAAAGAACUUCAUUAAUUUUUUUUAUAUUUUAGUAAUUUUUGAAUAAAUUUAUAUUUUAAAAUAAAAACAUUUAAAAUAAACUAAAAUUAGAAGGAAAAAUAUAAGAAAAAUAAAGUGAAGUGAUAGUAAUUUUUAAAAAUAAGAUUAAUAAGAUAAAUAUAAAAAACAAUUAAAAAUAAAAGGGCAAUAUAAAAUAAAAGGAUGAUAUAAAUUUAAAAUAAAAGAUAAAUUAGAAAAAAAAAAACAUAGGUAAUUUUCUUUUUUAAAAGGUUGUUUGAAAAAAAAAUGGUAAAAAAAAAAUUGUUAAUUUUUUGGAAAACCGCCAUCCCCAUGCAGGCGUCUGCUGAUUUUUCAGCAAAAUUUUGGGAUUUUUCUAGCGAUAUUUCAUCCAUAUUACUGAUUUUUUUAUUUUUUAUUUUUGGUGAUUUUUCACCCAAUAAUCGAUAACUGAUUUCGUUUUGACCACCUUCGAUAUCUGAUAUUUAUCAACAAAAUUUUUAAAAUUUUUUGAUUUUUCAAACCUUGCAUGCAACCAUAUGUCAUAGGAAGAAUGAUCAAAAUAUUAUAUUCUAUUGUAUACAUUACAAUACUUUCCAAAAUGCAUAUGAGCUAUGCAAGGUAAACAUAACAUUAUUCCAAAGAUAAAGGUUGACUGUUCACUAUGAUCCUUGAAUUGUGGGAUCAGAUUGACUCUCUCAAUAGUAAUCUUUAUACUCACCUGAGGUGGACGUGGUGCUAUUCGCCUUCUCUGCCAAGCAAAAAAACUUUAUAUAAGAGGUUAGAGCAUCAAGCCCAUGGCAUUCCCAAUCGGAAGAGCUGGGGUUUCACUGCGACUAUCCUCUCAUUCCACUUGCUCCCAGUUCCAGGUUCGUUUUCUCCUUUCUUUCAUUCCACUUCAUUCAACACCAUCAUGGCAUGAUUUCCUUCUUGGGGGUUUAUCCUCAGUUUUUUUAGUCAUCAGAGAAAACUAAUGAUUCAAUUCAUUGAAGGGUCGUGGCACCGCUUCGUUCUUUGGUUUCCUUUUGGGUUUCUGUUCAUUUUGACUAUUUCCAAUGUUUGAUUCAGCAGAGAAUAUGAAAACUGAUUAUUGCUUUCAUUUUACUCUCAUGGCGUGAUUUCUUUAUUGGGUUUCAUUCUGAAGUUUCUGAUUCAGUAGAUGAUGCUAAUAAUUUAAUUCCUUUCAAUAUCAGAGACCUGCUCAGGCUGAACUUGUCAUGGAUGGACGUGAUUGGGAGACUCAUCUUUCUCGUGAAUCUCGCCUCAGGAUUGUCAACAGUAUGUGAGUGUUUUAUUUCAAUUACCAAAUGUAAAUGUUUUGGGGAUCUUGGGAAAUUUCUACUGUUGGAAUUUAACAGUGUAAUUGUUGAUGGAAACUUCGAUUCAUAGGAGUUGAUGAUGCCACCGUAUCUGUAUGUAUGCAUUCGAUUCAUAUGAUAGGGCAAUUUAUAUGACAAUGCUAGCAUGAUGAUUUGGUAUUCCACAAGGUUCUCAAGUUGUUAAGUUUUUAAGCUGUUAGGAUUUGGAUCCAUAAUGUAUAUUAUGUGUGUCCCCAUACUAUGAUCACACACAUAUGGACCAUACCCGUUGCUAUGAUCACACACAUAUGGACCAUACCCGUUGCGAGACUCACAAACCACAAUAGUGACAAAGAAAUCACGCAUUUGUAAUCAUGUAUGAUCACACACCUUUCAAAUUGCAAUAGUGAUAGACAAAUGUAUAUCAUGAUUGAAAACCCCCCAAAAACAUGUUCUCGUACCCACCUUGGGAGUGAUAGACAAACAAUAGUAGUGACAAACAAAUCACACAUUUUUAUCACGCAUGUGUGACCCUAUACCUAGGAUCGACAAAUCACACAUGUGCUAUUGCAUGGCCCUAUACUUGCCAUGAAAGCCAUAAACCAUAGUAGUAGCAAACAAAUUACACAUUUGUGAUCAUGUAUGAUCACACUCCUCCCAAAUCAUAGUAGUGGUAGAUAAAUCAUACAUAUGUGAUCACAUGUAAUUAGACAAAUAAAUAAAUGGGGAGUGACCUAAACUUGAGACCUCUUAUUAACCUAAAAUUGGAUAAUGUGUUAAGUUACCAAUUUUUCUAAAAGUUUAAGGUAUUAGGAAUUGGACCUUAUAUCAUAUUCUAACAAAGACAAUAUUAGUCUAGGUUAGGCUAUUCCUUGGUGGUCUAAGAAUAUUCUAAGCCUUUGGCUGCCUUACUAGUUUCUCCCCUUGGUAAGGAAUAAGUAUAGAGACCAAAGAACUUGCUUUAAUCCUAGAUCUAAUUGGAAUCUAAGCUGGAACUCCAUGAGUUGGUGGGGGGAAUACAAUUGAAGUUCAUUGAUUCUUGUAUUUGGGAGUUCAUCCCAAGCAACAGUAAGUUCUUAUGAGCAUGUUAAGUACAUUAAAAAUCAAUACAUGAGGGAGUUCAAAUAGGAUCAUUGAAAAAUAGGAAGGAGAAAAAGGGUAUUAGAACGUGCAGGAAAUUUCAAGAAGCAACCUUUUGCCUUUGACUUGUUUAAAGGGAGGGGUGCAAGCAUGGAGCCCUAUGAAUUAACCAGCUUUCUGAUUGUCUUACUCUCAAACCCCCUCUUUUUAUGGGAUCAUAGUUCUGUUCCUUUCCUUAAUAAUAAUAUUCUGUUUACUCUAAAUUCCUGUUUCAUGCAAUAUUGUUUUCUGGUUGGAAAUUUAUGUGACAUGCAAUAUUGGUUUCCUAUUUAAGAGUUUCAGUGUUCAAAAGUUUUCAAUGAUUUCAUGACAAUAACCCAUUACAAUUUAACAUUUUUUAUGUCUAGAUCGGAUACGUUGAGGAGACAUCUUCCUGUUUCUGGACCAGAGGUACUACGUCAGCUAUGGAAAAUUGCUGAAAGGUUUGAGGAAAAGAUUUAUUCUGCUGCCACAAGUGAGGUAUAUCCAUCAUGCUAGUAUUUACUCACAUUCCUCAUGAUCUAUGAGCAUUUUUUGUAUCUAUCAUUUUUUAUUUUUAAAUUCUUAGUAUAAAAGAGCAAAGUGCAAAACUCAAUUAUCUUAUCUUAGUUUGUCAUUAAUUAUUUGAUGAAAUGAUAUAUUUUUCAUCUUUAUUUCUAAUUCAGUCUGAUUACCUCCGGAAAAUAUCUUUGAAAAUGCUGGCAAUAGAGGCUGCUAUGAAAGAAUCCCAUAGAUUCAGGUAACGACAUGAAGGAGCAAUGUGUUUUUAUGAAAUGCAACAAUCGAAAUUUUGCUUCUAUGAAAUGCAACAACGGAAAAUUUUCUUUUACGGAUAGAAAUUUUGCUUUUAUGAAAUGCCAUAAUAGAAAUUUUGCUAACAUAUCAAUAUAUCAUGUUGCAAAACUCCCCCUAAACAUGUUCCCGUAGCCACCUUGGGAGUGAUAGACAAACAAUAGUAGUGACAAACAAAUCACACAUUUUUAUCACGUAUGUGUAGCCCUAUACCCAUGAUCGACAAAUCACACAUUUGCUAUUGCACACAUGUGGCCCUAUACUUGCCAUCAGAGACAUAAACCAUAGUAGUAGCAAACACAAUACACAUUUGUGAUCGUGUAUGAUCACACUCCUCCCAAAUCAUAGUAGUGGUAGAUAAAUCAUACAUUUGCGAUCACAUGUAAUUAGACAAAUAAAUAAAUGGGGGAGUGACCUAAACUCAAGACCUCUAAUUAACCUAAAUCUGAUAAUGUGUUAAGUUACCAUUUUUUCUGAAAGUUUAAGCUAUUAGGAAUUGGACCCUAUAUCAUAUUCUAACAAAAACAAUAUUAGUCUAGGUUAGGCUAGUCUAGUUAGGUGGUCUAAAAAUAUUCUAGGUCUUUGGCCUCCUUACCAGUUUCUCUUUUUGGUAAGGAAUAAGUAUAGUGACCAAAGAACUUGCUUUAAUCCAAGAUCUAAUGGGAAUGUAAGUUGGAAGUCCAUGAGUUGGUUGGGGGAAUACAAUUGAAUUUCAUUGAUUCAACAUUGAUUCUUGUAUUUGGGAGUUCAUCCCAGGCAAGAGUAAGUUCUUGUGAGUAUGUUAGGUGCAUUAAAAAUCAAUACAUGUGGGAGUUCAAAUAGGAUCAUUAAAAAACAGGAAGGGGAAAAAGGCUAUUAGAAUGUGCAGUAAAUUUCAAGAGGCAACCAUUUGUGUUUGACUUGUUUCAAGGGGGGGGUUCAAGCAUGGAACCCUAUAAUUUAAUCAGCUUUCUGAUUGCCUUACUCUAUUAUGGGAUCAUAGUCCCCUUCCUUAAUAAUAAUAUUCUGUUUACUCUAAAUUCUUGUUUCAUGCAAUAUUGAUUUCCUAUUUUAGAGUUUUUUGGUGUUUUAAACUUUCCAAUGAUUGCAUGACAAUAACCCAUUACAAUUUAACGUUUUUUAUGUCUAGCAUGGACAUGUUGAAGAGACAUCUUCCUGUUUCUGGACCAGAGGAAUUGUGUGAGAUAAGGAAAAUUACUGAAAAGUUUGAGGAAAAGAUUUAUUCUGCUGCCACAAGCGAGGUAUAUUCAUCAUACUAGUAUUUACUCAACCAUUCCUCAUGACCUAUGAACAUUUUUUGUACCCAUUGUUUUUUCUUUUUUAUUUUUUAAUUCUUAGUGUAAAAGAUUAAAGUGCAAAACUUGAUAUUAUCUUACCUUAGUUUGUCAUUAACUAUCUGAUGAAAUGAUAUAUUUUUAUAUCUUUAUUUCUAAUUCAGUCUGAUUACCUCCGGAAAAUACCUCUGAAAGCGCUAGCAAUGGAGACAAAAUGUUUUAAUCCUGCAACCAAUUCUCUACCAUUCAACUAUUUUGCUCACAGAUCCAGGUAACAACAAUGAAGGAGGAAUGUGUUUGUAUGAAAUGCCACAAUCGAAAUUUUGCUAACACAUCAAUAUAUUCUUCUUCUAUUUUGUUGUUACACUUGACACACAUUACAUUUAUUAUGUGCACACAUGUCUUGUAUGUGUACACACAUGCAUAUAAUUCUUUUUUCUGUUACCAUGAUUACACUUUCCUCUUGAUAGGCAAUAAAACGUUCAUAGUUGAGCUUAAUUUAUGCAGGACAAUUUCUAUUGGAUUGGGUAUGGAAGCAGCUUGCUGCUUCUUCUUUUUCCCUUUUCCUUUGGAUUGGGUUAGGGGGUAGGGAUAGGGUUGUGUGUCAGCAUAUUGACUUGUAUCAUGCAGCACCAAGGCCACAUUGAAUACACUUUGCACCUAUGAGUGACUAUUCAACAAGGCAAGUUGAUGGACCAAGGUUUGAUGAGAGAUCAUGUCAAGGCUUGGUGGCAGCUCAAGUGGGCGAUAGACAACAUGUGGGCUAGCAUGUGGGACAGCUCGACUUAGCCAAAAUUCAAGUGUAAGAUUUUAGGUGGCAGGUAUUUCCCUUCAAAGAGGAGGUCUUGAGACUGGUUUCCAUGUGGAAUUAUAAUUUUUUUUACAUUUUUUGUUUUUUUAUAGAAAAUUCAUUAUUCCUACCCAAGCAUAGUAUUUUGGAAAUGGUUUAGAAUGUUCUUUAUGGAGAGGCUAGCUAACUCAAAGGUGGUGAAUAUGGCAUGAGCUACGCCACAUCAAGAGCAUGAUGUAGUGGCUUUAGACAUGAGCAAGGGGUGAUGGUAACCCUUGCUAAGCAUGUACACAUUGACAUGAUACCAUGGGGUGUGGUGCAACCCAUGGGCACAAUGAAAUGGGCGUGGUUGUGACACACAAAUGAGCUUGGUUCCCUCGAGUUGGAUUAAUCAACAUGAUUGGCAGACACAUGGGCCAAUAUACAAACACAAGCCAUGUGCUAAGAGAAGUCUUAGUGUCGAGGCAACGUACCAUGCAUGUGGGGCAAGAGGGGGCUUGGCACACAUGAGCUGACUAGAGAAGCAACGAGCUUGAUGAUGCAUAGGGCUACUUAGACACAUGAGUGGGCUUGACUACACAUGAGCUGCCUAGACACAUGGGUGGGUUCAACAAUAAGCAUGAGUUGACACUAAGCAUGGCACAAAGCUAUGUGAGUUGUGGGCUUAGAGUGAUAAUAUUUAUAUAAGAAGAAGGAUAUCAUUACAAAUGGUAUCAUAACCGAUCCCUAACCCGGUAUGAGAGUUUGAGUGAGAUCUCACAUCAACAACUCAAAAAUAAGUUUUUUGACGCUUUAUAUAUAAUAGGCUCCUCUUAAUCGUGUAAGCAUGUUUUAGAGUCAUGUUGGCCUCUGAACCAUUAUGGGAAGUAUCUAGAUAUGAACAAGCAGGUUAUUACAAAGAUGCUUAACUUGAUGUGACUAAAUAUGUCUAGAGCAUAACAAUACACCUUUAUGGGCAUAGACGGUCUAUGUAAGAUUAAUUAUGGUACUUCUACACCUUUCUUAUUUGUAUUAUUUGUAUCUUGGUCUAUUAGCCAUAAUCAGAGCCCUAGAAUAGAGAAACAACUUGAUAAGUGCCCUAGAGCCACAAUAUGAGAUAUUUUCAAUUUAUUUAAAAUUAUCUUAUGAGAUAAUUAGUAUGGUGUUUAACGAGCUCUUUAAAAUUCGAUUUCCAAAAACCCAUCCCUUAUCUCAUAGGCUCUAUAACCAGGAGUUACUCUCCUUUCAAAUGUAUGGAGAGGCUGUGAGUAAAUAGAAUUGCUUGAGGGAGAGGGUCUCUUUUUCCAUUGAUCAAGAGAUUGUUAGGCUAUGGAAAUAUGGUGUAUGCUCUGUGGUAUCACUGCUUGGGAGUUAGUAUUGCGAGAAAAAACAGCACAUUCAAUUCAACCUUCUGCUUUAGUCAAGUAUGCUUAUUUUAUGGUCAUAUAAACUUUCUUUAAAUGUCCCCACAAUUAUUCUAUUUUUUUAGCUCAAUAAGUAGUCGUAUCUUAUUUGUCCAUUACUUUAACAUCCAUUCCCUAUUCCAAAAAACUCAAAUCCUACCUCAUAGGGCACAUCAUCCUCACUAACUCCCAUUGUCUAGAGAUUACUCAAUGAGUAGACUGCAUGACUGUACUUACCUAAGUUUCCAAAAUAACCAAUUUCGAGUUAUUUGGAGAAUUUACGCCUCUUAUGUUCCAACAGCCUAUAUUUACCAUUCAAAUCGUCUUUUGUAGGAUUCAAUGCUGAUUCUCUAAAUGAUCCCUUGUUUUUUUCACUCUAUCCAUUUUCCAGGAGCGCAUGAGAAUUUGAGGGUGUACUUUUUCUUAUCCACAUUUUGUGGCAAACUUAGAAUUUUAGUGUAUUCUCCCAUUUAUGACCUUUGUCACACCACCUUGAUAUACAUUAUCACUAUGGGAAGUCAACAUCAAACAUCUAUUUAAAGUAAUACAAGAGAGAGGCAGAAACUUCAAUUUUGAUGGAGAUACAAAGUCUCUGCACCUAGCCUUGAAGAAAGAAACAUUUGAAAAUUAUUACUAAAUUUUACGUGAGGGAAAGAGAAGUUUGCAAAAUACAAGAUGAAAAUUUUUGAAUGACCAAAAUACUAUCUUCAUCCACAACUAACUCUCUACUAGCAUUUUCCUUUGGAAUUCCGCCUAGAGAGUCUCAAACCCUGGUCCUCUUUUAUGUCAAUCUGCAAGCAGGAAUGUUCACAAGACCUUAUAGAUGAGUCUCCAUUAAAGGACUUUCUCUAAAGUUCCACAAAUUUGGGAUCAUAAGAUGCAUGAAGAAUGGUAUCUUUCUUCUAAAGUUCCACAAAUUUGGGAUGCUAAUUCUCUUCCUUCUCCCUCCAUCCCCAACCAAGAUUGGAAUAUUUCCCAAAUUCUAAAACUCUAAUUUGAUCAAAACUAUCCUUUCCCUCAACACUUCAAAGUUCUUAGUUGAAUUUCGAUUGUGAUCUUAUUCUGAGUGGCAUUAGUGAAAUUUUGGUAUUUUAUCAAUUGCUAAUUGUUGGAGAAAAGCUCAAAUUUUGGUUGGAAUGUAAUUGCUUGUGCAUGAGAUAGGUGUAAAAGGUGUUUAUCAUGGUCUCUCAUUAUUUGCUUGACUGUUAUAUUUUGCAGAAUCUAAGACUGGAAAAUGGAGUUGGCUGGAAGUUGCUGUUAUCAUCGUUCUUUCGUAGGUUACUGUGAUUUGGAGACUUGGAAAUGAAGAAUGUAAGUAAUAAUUUGGUCUACGCAUGAUAUGAUUUCUGGGUAAAAUGUUCAUAGGACGUUUGAAUUUCAAAUCUUUUGUAUUGGAAUGUUAGAUUUGCAGUUGGAAGCUGAUAUGGAAUGUUGCAGUUUUUACUAAUCAUAUUUUGAAUCUUGAAUAAUUUUCUUCAACAAUGCUAAAUAAAGCUGGAAAUCUAAGGGAAUAGCAUUUGAAAACUCAAAUCCUAGCUUUAACAAGGAUUGGAAAGGAAAUGGAACACAAAAGUGCUUGAAAAUUUCAGUAAACACUAAAGAGAGAGUUUGGAGGUGUGAUUCAAAAAUAGUUUUUUGUUUUUAAAAACAAAAGUGUGCUUUUAGAAAUUCAUAAUUCUGUUUGAUUUUGAAAAACAAAGUGAAAUAGAGAACAAAUAAAAAUUGUUUCCUCUUAUUUUUAAAAACAAAAGCAAAAUAUAGAAAAAGAAAACCCAUAAAAAGCAAAUAAAAUUGAAUAUGAUAUAUUUUUUCUUCCUUCUCCAUGACCCAAUAUCGAAAAUCUUUAAAGAAUCUUCAAAACAAUCUUCGUGUUUUUUUGAAUUUCCUUUAACCUCUCUAAAAAUUUUCAUUAAGCUAACAAAUUUCAAACUAAACUAUGUUAUUCAAGCAUGGGAAUGAAUGAGAAAAGAAAUGAGAUGUUCAUUCCUACUCUUCAUUCUCAAGUAUCAAACAUGACCUUAAGAUUUUGUACAUUUGGUUUUCUUGUAAAGUUUUUAAAAACUUAGGUUUGUUUGGUAACUACUUUUAAUAAUAGUUUUGAAAAAUAGUUUGUAAGAACAGGUUUUGGAAAUUGUUCCUUAAUGUUUUAUAAAACAAAAGUCUCUUUGAAAACCUAAAAAGUUUUUAACCUAUUUUUAAUAUUUUUAAAUAUAUUUUAAAAAUAAUUUAUAUAUUUAGUAUUUUUUUUAAUCAUUUUACAUGUUUGUAUAAUUAUUUUUUAAAACAACUCUAAAAAAACAAUGGAAAACAAUUAAAAGAUAUUAUCUAAAAAUACCAUAUUUUCUAUUCUUAAAAAUAGAAAACAAUUUUUAUUUGUCAAGCAUGUUUUCUUGUUUUUUUGUUUUGUAAAACAAAAAACUAUUUUCGAAAACAGUUACUAAACAGACUCUUAACAUUUUCAAAAAUAAACUUCUUGAACUAAAAAUAUUCACAUUUUUAGAAGGCUUUUAAAAAUGAGUUUGUCACAAUGUUUUUUAGUCAUUAAAGAGGAUUUUCAUGCUUAAGAAAUAAAAUCAAACCAAUCCAUGCCAUUGCCAUUGAACACUUGAUACAUUUUUUGCGGUUGGUUGCUCAAAUACUGGAAUUUUUGUAGUAUCUAACGAAUGACCAAUCAAUUGAGCAAAUACACCAUGAACUUAAGCUUUGUAACCACUACAUAUGGGUUUUACCUCAUUGCAAAGGCAACUGAAGUAAUACAAUUGAUGUGAAUAGGAAAGUAGUUCUCCACCAUGUAAGAAUGCAUUAGACAAUGAUUUUAGGAGGUAUUUUUAGUUUUUCUAAUAUUUGAAAAAUAAAAAAAUUUCAAAUGUUAAAAAAACUAAAAACACUUUAUAGAAUUAAUACCAAACGCACUCUAAGUCUAUCUGAAAAUAUAUGAAAAAAUAAAUUAAGAAAAAAAAAAAAGAAAUUGAUUUGUUCUUCAUGUCAUACUUGAUUAGUGUUUGUUGAAGGUGACACUAAAGUCAUACUACAUCUGCUAGUUGGUUUUGAUAGAAGGGGGAUUGAUAUCUAAGCUUUGAUUUUACAUCUUCUUAAAGCUUUUGCUUGUGUUCAAAGAUGAUGAUUUAAAUUAAGUUCUUAUAUUUUGGUGUUUGUUUCGAUAUUAAUUUGUGAAUUCAUGUUCUGAUUGAAAUUUUCUAGUGAUAUUAUAAAUACAUUGAAGGGAAAUGGAAGGAUAUGAAUAUGUCAACUUCCCUUGUCAUUUUAUAUUUUUUUUUAUUAAAUAAUUAAAAAAUGACAUAAUACUAAUUUUAUUAGAGUCUGUAUUCACAGGUUUCAUCGCUCUUCGAUUAAUGGUUAGGUCUAAAUUAUCCAAUGGAACUCCUAUUCUUGAGUCAAUCCUCUAAGUCUUUAUUGGCUUUAGGUUCUUGAUUUUUUUUUUCUAUGAACAUAUUCAUUUAAUUUGGGAUGAAUUAGUUUGAUGUUUUAUUACAUACCCAAUUAAAAAUGAAAAAAUUUCCUUAAAAUUGUAAAAGUAACCUCCCACUUUUAAUAGUCUCAAAAAUUACCCAUUUUGGACAAAAAUGUCCCUAUAGCUAUCGCUUCAACCACAUUAGCCCAUUCCCCUUCCGGUUUUUACUUUCCCUCAUUUUACCCUUUUUAUUCUUUUUUUUUUCCCACAAAAACUAAGGGAGAAUUAUAUUUUACACCAAAGGCUUGAAAAUAGGCCCAAGAUCCUCAUAUCCCUUAUAUUUGAGCCAAAGACCUAAUGGAUGAAUGAAAAUUGAGUUGAAAUACAUUAUUUUUCAAAAUUUUCUAAAAUGCCUUGGUUAUUAAAUAAAAAAAUAAAAAAAAUAAAAAAUAAAAACUAGCUUUCUCCUCUUUCCCUUUCUUUCUCUCUUCAUUCAACUCUUGUAUAUUAAUUGGUGGAAUCAUAUAAAUUAAUUCCUAAAAAGUGUCAUUAUUUCCAUCAAUUAUUUUUCUCCCAAAAACCAUGCCUAAUAAAUUGAAUAUUGGAAAUCAAUGGUUAAAAAUGAUUAUUACUAUAUUUUUUCAAUAAAUAUUUUUUAAACACCUCAUAAAAUAUUUUUUAAACACCUUUAAAAUAUAUAUAUAUAUAUAUAUAUAUAUAUAAACUAUUUUUUAUAUAAACAUCUUUAAGGUUAUAAACAAUUAUUUGAAUAUUUUCUCUAAUUUAUGAACACUAGAAGACAUUGUCUUAAUAUAUUAUUUUAAUACAUGAACAUCUUUUAACUAAUGGUGGUAAUUGACUUUCAAUUGAAUAAUGUAAUAUAUGUGGACAAAACAUGAUUUAAAUUAUUAAAACACAAUAUCAUCAAGUUAAGUGAAUGUAUCACAUUAAGAGUACGUUUGGUAAUGAUUUUAAAAAACAUUUUUAACAUUUCUAACACUUGAAUAAUAUAAAAUUUUAAGUAUUAAAAAUAUUAAAAACACUUCAUAAAAUCAAUGUUAAACGAGCUUUAAGAGAUAUACAUAUAAUUAUAUCAUAAUUUUCUCUUCUUUUUUCCUCAUACAUUAUAUCUUUUGUAUAAAGUUUUGUAAAAAAAAAAAACAAAACUUUUUGUUAUGUAAAGAGGUGCAAAAAAUACAUUAAAAAUCGAAAAGAGAAUAUAAUGGAAUAUAAAUUAGGUGAAAAUCAUCUUAGGAAUAUAAUAAUAAAAAAAACAUGAAAAUGUGAGGAAAAAACAAGUUUAGAUGAAAUUUAAGAUCAAAAAUAAAAAAAAUAAAUUAAAAUUAAUAAUAUAAAAAUCAUAGAAUCUUUAAAACUAUAAUUAUAAUAAAAUAUUUUUAUUUUAAAUUAACUCGAUAAUUUAAAUUAAUGAUUUUUUAAAGAGAGAGAGAAAGUAAUAAUUGGUAGGGAAACGAGUUGAUGGGGCAGCAGUGAUUGAAUUUGAAGGGAUCGUUGAAGGGGCAUUUUUGUCCAAAAUGGGUCAUUUUUGAGGCUGUUAAAAGUGGAAGAUUAGUUUUGCCAUUUCUUGGGAAUUCUUCCUUUUAUUAACUAACGGUAAUCGGUUAUCCCUUUUAUUAACUAACGGUAACGGUCGACGCGGUGCUAUUGGCAGUUUCGUUUUCCCGCCAAGCAAAAAACUUUAUAUGGCCCGGAGCAUCAACGCCAUGGAUAUACUGCGUUGGUGCUUAUCAGAAAAGCUAGGGUUUCACUGCAACUGUUCUCUCAUCCCCCUCACUCCCAGUCCCAGGUUCCUUCUUAAUUUCUCCUUUCUUGUUUUCUUUUUUUUUUUUCAUUUCACUUCAUUCAAUACCAUGCACUGAUUUUCUUCCUCUGUUUUGAUUCAAUAGAGAAAGCUGAUUAUUCCAUUCGUUUCUUUCUUGGGUUUCUUUUUCUAUUUUUGAUUCAGUAGUGAAAUUGAUGACAACUCAUUCCAAUAUCAUCGUCUGAUUUUCCUUCUUCGUCUAUUUAUUUAUUUUAAUGACUGGGUAAAGAACUGAUUAUUCAAUUCACAUAAGUACCAUGGCGUCAUUUUCCUUUUUGGGUACCAUUUUCAAUUUUCAAUUCAUUUCGAUUCAGGGUGAGAGUUUUCUUUUUUGGAUUGUGUUUUCCAUUUUUGAUUCGUUAGGGAGAACUGACUAUUUCCAUUCAUUUUAAUAUAAGAGCGUAGCAUUCUUUCUAGGAUUUCAUUUUCCAUUUUUGAUACAGAAGAGAAAACUAAUAAUUCCCUUGAUUUCAAUAUCAUCGCCUGGUUUUCUUUCUUGUCUUUCAUUUUCAGUUUUUGAUAUAGUAGAGAAAACAGAAUAUCCAAUUCAUUUAAACGUCAUGGCGUGAUUUUCUUUCUUGGGUUUCACUUUGAAGUUUCUGAUUCAGUAGAUGAAUCUGAGUACAGAAAACUGAUGAGUUUUUCUUCUUUUUUUCCUUUUUUUAUUUUCUUUGCUUUGGAAUUAGGAAUUGAAAGACAUGAAUAAUCAGAGACCUGCUCAGGCUCGACCUGUCAUGGAUUUUUCUCCUGGUUCACGCCAGCCGAUGAUCAACAAAAUGUGAGUGUUUUAUUUCAAUUGCCAAUUGUAAAUGCUUUGGGGAUCUUGGGAAGUUUCAAUAUGAAUUCUUGAGAUUGGUUAGGGUUUGAAACUACUAGGUUCAAAGAUACAUGAUUCAUUAAUCUUUCAAUUCCAAGUGGUUAUUUGUUUUUAAGAUGAUAAAGAUACUGUCAAAUUUUCUUUCAGAAAGGUUACUGGGAAAGCAGCUAAAAUUUGUUUCAGCUCUUAUUAAAAUCAAUGUUUUUGCCUUGUAUUUGGAUGCAUGUGCAAUUUCAUCUUGAGUGUCUUUAUACUUUGAAGUUUCACAUUUUCCUGCCUUAUAUUUUGUUGACAUGUGUUGCACUUUCAAUUUUAACUGAUGUAGGUGAUGUCAGUUAGAAUUUUAUGGGCACGGAAUAUUAAAAACGUACCAUAAUAAUGCCAAAUAAAGAGGAGAGCUUGUGGCAAGAAAAUGAGGAUGCCUAUAUGUUAGCCUUCCUCUAUGUAAUUACACAUUAUAUAUAAAUUAUUAAAUCAUUUGAAUGAUUUUUGACAGAAGAAAGAGUGAUAGGGGGGGAAAAUUUAGAAAGAGAGAAAACAACUUACCCAUUGUAAUUAUUGAUAGAAACUUUGACUCAUAGGAGUUGAUUAUACCACCAUAUCUAAAUGUAUGCAUUUGAUUUUUAAAUGCAUGAUUGACAAAUCAUGCAUUUAUGAUCGUGUAUACUUGCCAUAUAUCCAUGAUUGACAAAUCACACAUUUUUGAUUGCACACAUGUGACCCUAUACUUACCAUGAGAGGCAUAAACCGUAAUAGUAGCAAACAAAUUACACAUUUAUGAUCGUGUAUGAUCACACUCUUCCCAAAUGAUAGUAAUGGUAGGUAAAUCAUACAUUUGUGAUCACACAUGAUUAGACAACUAAAUAAAUGGGGGAGUAGUUUAAAUUCAAGACCUCUAACUAACCUAAAAUCUAAUACUAUGUGAAGUUACCAAUUUUCCUAAAAGUUUAGGCUAUUACAAAUUGAACCAUAUUCUAACAAAAAACAAUAUUAGUCUAGGUUAGGCUAGUUUGCUUAUGUGGUUUAAAAAUAUUCUUGGCCUCCAGCGUCUAAACUAGUUUCUCCCAUUGGUAAGAAAUAAGUAUAGUGACCAAAGAACUUGCUUUAAUUCUAGGCCUAAUUGGAAUGUAAGAUGGAACUCCAUGAGCUGGUUGGGGGAAUACAAUUGAAUUUCAUUGAUUCUUGUAUUUGGGCGUUCAAGCUAGGCAAGACUAAGCUCAACUAAGUUCUUGUGAGCAUGUUAGGCACAUUAAAAAUCAAUGCAUGAGGGAGUUCAAAUAGGAUCAUUAAAACAUAGGAAGGAGAAAAAUGGAUUAAAAUUGCAAGAGACAACCUUUUACGUUUGACUUUUUUAAAGGAAGGGAUGCAAGCAUGGAACCCUAUAAAUUAACCAGCUUUCUUAUUGUCUUACUCUCAAACCCCUGCUUAUUAUGGGCUCACAGUCCCUUCCUUAAUAAAAAUAUUCCAUUUUCUGUAAAUUCCUGUUUCAUGCAAUAUUGUUUUCUGGUUGGAAAUUUACGUGACAUGGUCAGUGGACAGAUAGCAUGAUUUCUUAUUUAAGAGUUUUUUGGGGUUUAAAACUUAUCAAAUGAUUGCCUGACAAUGACACAUUACAAUCUAAUGUUUUUUAUGUCUAGCAUGGACAAGUUGAAGAAACAUGUUCCUGUUUCUAGACCAGUGGAACUGAAUGAGCUAAGGAAAGCUGCUGAAAGGUUUGAAAACAAGAUUUAUUCUGCUUCAAGAUCGCAGGUAUAUCCAUCAUGCUAGUAUUUACUCAACCAUUCCUUAUGACCUAUGAGCAUUUUUUGUAUCUAUCCUUUUUUAUUUUUUAAUUCUUAGUAUAAAAGAUCAUAGUGCAAACCAUGAUAUUAUCUUAUCAUAGUUUGUCAUUAAUUAUGUGAUGAAAUGAUGUAUUUUUUAUUUUUAUUUCUAAUUCAGCUUGAGUAUAUCCGGAAACUAUCUUUGAAGAUGCUGGAAUUGGAGACAAAAUCUUUUAAUGUUGCAAUCAAUUCUCUGCCAUCCAGCCCUGCUGCUCGCAGCCGACAAUCCCUCAGAUCCAGGUAACAACAUGAAGGAGCAAUGUGUUUUUAUGAAAUGCAACAAUUGAAAAUUUUCUUCUAUGAAAUUCAACAGCAAAAAUUUUGCUUUUAUGACAUGCCACAAUAGAAGUUCUGCUAACAAAUCAAUACAUUCUUCUUCCACUUCGUAGUUACACUUGACAUAUAUUACAUUUAUUGUGUGCACACAAGAAUAUAAUUCUUUUUUCUAUUACCAUGAUUACACUUUCCUCAUGAUAGGCAAUUAAACAUUUGUGGCUGAGCUUAAUUUAUGAAGGACAAUUUGUAUCGGAUUGGGUAUAGAAGCAGCUUGCUGCUGCUUUUGUUUCCCCCUUCCUUUGGGUUGUUGGGGGUUGGGUUAUGAAAAGAAGUAUGGAAUUGAUUGAAGCAAUGGUCUAUAAGCUGAGCUCCUGAAAGCACAAAGGAUGGGUGGGUAUGGGAUUAGCUUGCUACACCUUUCUUAUUUUUAUUAUUUGUAUCUUAGUCUAUUAGCCAAAAUGAGAGCCGUAGAAUAGAGAAAUAACUUGAUAAGUGCCCCAAAACCACAAUAGGAGAUAUUUUUAAUUUAUUUAAAAUUAUCUUAUGAGAUAAUUAGUGUGGUGUUCAUCAAGCUCUUUAAAAUUUCAUUUCCAAAACCCCAUCCUUUAUCGCGUAAGCUCUAUAACCAGGAAUUACUCUCCUUCACUCAAAUGUUUUCAGUAGCUGUGAGUAAAAAGAAUUGUUUGAGGGAGACAGUCUCUUUUUCCAUCAAGAGAUUUUUAGACAAUCGAAAUAUAGCAUAUGCUUGAUAGCAUUACUAUUUCGGCAUUAGUAUUACGAGGAAAAGCAACACAUUCAAUUUAGCAUUCUGGUUCAAUCUAUCAUGUUUAUUUUAUGGUCAUUUAAUUUUUUUUUUAAAUGUCUUAACAUAAUCAUGCUACUCAUGUUUAAAUUCUUGACAUGUGGGAAAACCAAUCCCAAGAAUUAUUCUAAUUUUUUUCCCCAAUAAAUACUCAUAUUUUAUUUGUCCAUUACUUUAACAUUCGUUUCAUAUUCCUAAGAACUCAAAUACUACCUCAUAAGAGUAUUUUCAGGUAACUUCAUCCAUUUUCGAUAUUUUAGAUCUGAUUGGUUUGGUGUUGAGAAAGAAAUGUUUCAUUUUCAAUUUGGGAUCUUAAGAAGCAUAAAAAAUGGUAUCUUUCUUCAGAUUUCUUCCAAAAUUUGACAGAUUUGGGAGGUUAAUUCUCUUCCUUCUCCCUCCCACCCCAACCAAGAUUGGAAUAUUCCCCAAAUUCUGAAACUCUAAUUUUAUCACAACUAUCCUUUUUGUUGACCCUCCAAAGCUCUGAGCUAAAUUUCAAAUUAAGUUGAAAUCAUGUCGUAAUUUUGGUAUUUCAUUGAUCGCUGGUUGUUGGAGGAAGGUUGAAAUUUUGGUUGUAAUGUAAUUGUUUAUGUAUGAGAUAGGUGUUUACUAUGGAAAUCUGCCAUCUCUCAUUAUUUGCUUAACCAUUAUAUUUUGCAGACUCUGAGGCUGGAAAAUGGAGUUGGUUGGAAGUUGCUGCUAUCAUCGUUCUUUCAUAGGUCUACUAUGAUUUGGAAAUUUGCAAAUGUAGAAUCUAAGUAACAACUCGGUCUAUGCAUGAUGUGAUUUCUGGAUAAAAUGUUGAUAUGAUGUUUGAAUUUCAAAUCUUUUGUAUUGGAAUGUUAGAUAUGUAGUUGGAAGGUGAUAUGGAAUAUUACAGUUUUGACUAAUCAAUCCAGAACCUGGAGAGGAAAUAUUUUGAAUCUUAGAAUAAUGUUCUUCAAACAGUACUAAAUAAAACUGAAACUAAAAGGGAAUAGCAUUGAAAAUUCAAAUCCUGGCUUUAACAAUGAUUAAAAAGGAAAUGGAUAUGUAUUUUUUACAGGUUUAUUUCAAGUAUGAGAUUAGAAUGCCUUCCCUUUAUAAUAUGAAAUAGGAUAAAAUAAAAGUAAAGGGAUUGGUAACUUUUUAUUUUUUUACAUUAUUUCAUAUUUUGCAGAUAUAUUAGUAAAAUUCAAACCCACUAACUUUUUCCAAUGUUUGCAUCAAAGAGGAAAUCCUUUUAGAUGUAAAAAACCUAGUGGAUGUGAUCUAGAAUUUACCCAAAAUAAAACCUUUUAAAAAAAUAGUGUUAAAAAAUUCUUUAGAAUUGAGCACCCUUAGAGCACUUGAGUGCUUUCUAACACUUGCGCACUCUAGAGAGCAUUUGAGUGCUCAAGGGGUUCUUUAAACCUAUUUUAAAACAUCUUAGCUCUCUUUAAAAAACCUAUUGUACAUACCAUGCUUUAACUAAAUCCAAUUUUCUAUUCUUAGACUUAUCUAUACUUACCUAUAACAUCUCAAUUGAUAAUUCAAUAACCUUAAGUCUUAAAUAGAGAGUAAGACACAAUCUAAAAAAGACUUAAGCCAAAAUGUUUAAAACAGAAUUACCACCUUUAAAAAUACAUAGCCUAAUGUACCAAUAGGAAUGAUUAGUGUUGGUUUUUUAAUGGUUGAAAUAAUUGAUUAAACUAAUAGUAGGUAGGACAUUAAGAUUAAGUUGAUUAUAUGUGGGUAUUUUAAGAAAAAAGUUUACAAAUCAUAGCAUAACUAAUUUUUCAAAAUAGAAGCAUUAAAAAUUAAAUUCAAAAUUAAGUAUUAUUUACAAGAAUAUCAAGAUGCACGACAAAUGAUGAAGAUAAUAAUGACAAUUGUCCCAUAAAGAACUUAAGACGAAGAGUAGGGAUACUAAGAAUAUCACUUUUGUGACAUCUCACAUCAGAUAGAGAGGAAAGUUUCUAACACUAUAUAAGUAUGGACUCCUCUUAACCAAAUAGAUGUGUUUUAAAGCUAUGAGGACCCCUUUAGGCCUAGAGCAGUAUAUCUAAAACACCCUUGAAAGAGAUGAGAGUUAAUUUUUUAAUGAUUAAAAUAAUUUAUUAAACCUAUAACCAAUAGUAGGUUGGAUAUUAAGGUAAAAUCAGUUAUAUAUGAGUAUUUUAAGAAAAGAAAAAUAAAAGUUUACUAGUUAUGGCAUAGCUAAUUUUUGAGAUAUGAGCAUGAUAUUGAGUAUCAUUUACAAGAAUACCCAAACGAAGGAUGAUAAAGAUAAUAGCUAUAGUUGUCCUAUUAUAGGAGGAUUAAGUCAACAUAUUUAAAGUAAAAAUAGUAUAACAACUUAAUAUUACAACUUAAAGUAAAAACAAUAUAACUUUAAGUAUUAAGUCAUAUACUAACUUAUUCUUAAUCUCAAAUCUCUUUUUACCUAAUUACCUAUGUUUAGUGAGAGUAUGUUUUACAAUUAUGAUUAUACAUUACUCAUCUUUUAUAAUAAAUAUUUUUGUAAUUAUCUUAUGUAUUUAAAAUACUUUAAGUAUGAACAUUUAACAAGUAAAUUUUUUGCUAAAAAUGAGUAAAAUAUAAAUAUUAAUUAAAAUCUAUUGGCGCUAUUUGACCUUAACUCCCAUCCCAUUGACCAUGACAUCUUUUGUGGGAGGUUUAUCAUAAUAUAUACUUGCAUCUAGACCAAAUAUAAGUCUUCCACCACAGAAGAAUCUAUUGUUGCCUUUCCAGAUUUGAUAAACCUCAUAUUCAUUCAUUCCAUCAUUAUUGGUAUCAACCCAGGAAUACAAAGAAUAAAAUUAAGAAAAUAAAAUGAUAGUAAUAUGAAAUCAAAUGAGUAAACAAAUAGAAUAAAAAAUAAAUAAAUAAAAGACAUGGUGAAUCUCAACAAACAAGCAUAUCAUAACUGAUUAUUCAUUAUAAUUAUCUUAUUUAGUGUGUCUUCCAUGUUGAGAUGGCAAUGCGCUAUCAGUGCGCAGGUUAUAAUCAAAUGAUGGAGCUAAUGAAGAGGAUGACAAGCAUUGAUCCGAAGUUGUAGGUGAAUUGGUAGAAGUGGAGACUAUCUUGCAAUGAUAAAUGAGAUGCGGAAAACGAAGACAGAUUGCAAAUGUGGGAAACUAGAUGUUGAGGAUAAACUAGUGCAUAGGGUGAAUUGGUUCUCAUAUUAUCCAGAUGGUAUGGGGCAUGUUGUAGAAAACUGGUGCGUGAGUCUGGUGUACUGGAGAUGAAGAUGUUUGUGGUGGUGAUCUUGGGGUUGAGCUUGGUCUGGUUCAAAGUGCCAUGGCUGGACGGCUAAAAAAAUGUGAGUUAUGAAUCCUAAUAGGCUCCGGUUGUGGUUACAAGGUGAAGUAAAGGAGAGAUUCUGAUAAAUAGGCAGCCAAAUGAAUCUGGUACCCUUUCUAAACAGCUUAUUCAGAGAAAAUUGCAUUGGAAGGGUCGUUAUGGGUUCCAUUUGCUUUCAAGUUGUUCGAGUUCUCAUGGAAUCAACUUUUUCACUAGUUUAUCCAAAUAUCCUGUGGCCAAUCUCCAACAUCAUCAACCGGUGAUGCACACUAUGCUAUAUACUCGGAACACCCCCACAGAAAACAGAGGAGGAUAACAAGAAAACAUGGCAUGAAGAAAAGAAACGAAAAUACACCAGUGAACUUACCUGAGAGUUCUUCCAAAGCACGGAUAGCUGGAUUUCUCAAUGCCUCUCCUCCAUAGCUCCAGUUUUUCUUUUCAGCUUUCUAGUCACAUAUUUUUCUCUCAAACUCUCAAAAACUCUGAAAAUCCCUCACACAUGGACUGUCCUGCUCAUCCUCUCCAACUUUUAUAUUUUUUUUUCUUUUUUUUUUUUACAGCUCGGGUUUAUUUUGCUCUCCCAUCAACUUUCACUAGCUCUCUCCUCCCCAUCCAUUCCUCUAUUUUUUGUUUAGAAAAGGUCCCAUCUCAACCACCACCAUGGCGAGGUGGUGGUGUCCUUGGCCAUGUGUCCAUGCAUAUAGCUCUCAGCACUUGAAGAAGUCGGCCCUUCCCACUUCUCCAAGAUGCCGCCAGCCCCUCCCACUUCUUCAAGAUGCCGCCAACUUUCCCGAGGCGAUAUGAAAAUAGUGUUCUAAAAAUAACCAAAAAAAACUAAACCAAAAUAAGGGUCUACAGUUUGGUUUUGAAAAAUUUGAGGGAAAAUACAAUGGAAAAGUAGAAGAAAAGAAAAAGUGAAAAUAAAAUAAAAAAAUAGAUUAAAACUUAAUAAUUAUUUUUAUUUGCUACUUCAAACUUUUUUUAUUUAUUUUAACACAUCGAUAUAAUGAUUAAAUAAUUUUUAAAUGCAUAAGUUUCUAACUAGUUUUAAUUAUAUUUUAUUUUCUUUAGUAUUUUUAAUAGGCCAACCAGACAUGAGAAAAUUAUUUUUCCUUAGGCUAUGUUUGGCUCCCAAAAAAUAUUAAGGAAAGAAAAAAAAAUGUUAAGGAAAAUUAUUUUUCCAUAUUUGGUUGUUCUAUGAAAAAUAAAAAAUAAAAUCAAAUAUAAUAAAAAUUAGUUAAAAACUUAUGUAUUUUACAGUUAUUUUAUUUUUAUAUCGAUGAGUGAAAAUGAGUAAAAUGUUAAAUUUCAUCAUAAAAAUUUUGUAAUUGUAUAUUUUGUUUUUGUAGUUUUAGCAAUGUUAUUUCUUUCCACCAUUUUUUUGUUGUGAAAUUUUAUUCAAAUGAAUCUAUAUUUAGAAAUCUAAUUUAAAAUUAUAAUUUAUUAUAAAACAAAGUGGAAAAUGAAGAAGAAAACAAGAAAGAGAUAAUAGAAUGCACGAAGAGAAAUUGAAUUGAUUUUCAUUAGGAGUCUUUCCCUUUUAUAGGGAGUUACAAAAAGAUAAACAUCAUUACGAAUGAUCAUCCAUAAGUUCCAACAAUGCUACAAAUUCCCAUAUUUUAUAACACUCCCCUUGGAUAAUCAUAAGAAUAUAGUAACUACUUCGUUAAAAACCUUGCCAGUAAAACCCAGUGGGACAAAACCUGGACGAAGGAAAAAAAAGAGAGCAAUAUAUCCAUAUUAGUAUUAUCUCCCUCAUAUAGACAUGAUUAUGAUUUCUUCAAUAUUUCAAUUGGUAGAUAUCUUAAUUUUCGCAUUCCAAUGUCAUACUUUAACUUUUUCAAUAUGGUCAAAGGUAAAGCCUUUGUCAAUAAAUCUGCUAGAUUAUUGCAUAAUCGAAUUUGUUGAACAUCAAUCUCACAUUUCUCAUGGAGCUUGUGAGUAUAGAAAAAUUUAAGGGAGAUAUGCUUAGUUAUAUCACCUUUUAUGAAUCCUCAUUUAAUUUGUGCAAUACAAGCAACAUUAUCUUCAUGUAACUUGGUUGCACUACCUCUGAUAGAAGGUAGUCCACAUGUUUCUUGAAUAUGUUGAAUCAUUGACCUUAGUCAUAUACAUUCACAACUUGCUUCAUGAAUUGUAAGAAUUUCUGAAUGAUUUGAAGAUGUGACUCUUGACUGAUCUCUAAGAUAUUGUUGUACCAUCAUAAGUAAAAAUAUAUCCCAUUUGAGGUCGAGUUUCAUGAGAAUCUUAAAAAUAUUCUACACCUGCAUACCCAAUCAAUUAUGAUUUUGAUUUUUUUUGAAAAAUAUAAGUUCAUGUCACUUGUUCUACGAAGGUAUCACAAUAUAUGUUUAAUCUCAUUUCAAUACCUUCUAGUUGGGGCAGAACUGUAUCUUGCUAGCAAGUUGAUAGAAAAUGAUAUGUCUAGUCUAUUACAAUUUGCAAGAUACAUUAGUGCAUCUAUUGCACUAAGAUAUGGUACUUUUUAACCAAAUAAUUCUUCAUUUUCUUGUUUAGGAUGAAAUAGGUCUUUGUUCACUUCAAGUGAACGAACAACCAUGGGGGAAUUGAGUGGAUGUGAUUAUAUAAAAUCAUUUUAAUACUUUCUCUAUAUAUGUCGAUUGAUGGACUAAUAUGCCAUUUGAACAAUGCUCGAUCUACAGGCCUAGACAAUAUCUUGUUUUCCACAAAUAUUUCAUUUCAUAUUCCUUCUUUAAAUAAUUGGUUGUUUUUUGUGAGCUCUUCAAGAGUCCCUAUAAGGUUCAAAUCAUCCACAUGUACUGCAAUUAUUGUAAGCCCAGUUUUCGAUUUCUUAAUAAAAACACAUGGGUAAAUUGGAUUAUUCACAUGUCUUUCUUUUAACAAAUACUCACUCAAAUGAUUAUACCACAUGCGUCCGGAUUGCUUUAAUCCAUAUAGAGAUCUUUGUAGUUUGAUUGGGUACAUGUUUCAAGGUUUUGGAUUAGUUGCUUCAGGCAAUUUGAAUCAUUAAGGGAGUUUCAUAUAUAUGUCAGUAUGUAUAGACCCAUAUAAAUAGGCUAUAACAACAUUCAUGAGACGCAUAUCUAGUCCUUCAAAGACUGUUAAACUUAUCAAGUAUCGAAAUGUAAUUGUGUCCAUUAUAGAGGAAUAAGUUUCCUCAUAGUCUAUACUAGGUCUUUGAGAAAAACCUUGAGCAACAAGUCGUGCUUUAUAUCUUAUGAUUUCAUCAUUCGCAUUUUGUUUUCUCAUAAAGACCCAUUUAUAUCCAACAAACUUUAUGUUUCCAGGUGUUUGAAUUAUUGGUCCAAAUACCUCUCAUUUUGUUAACGAGUUUAGCUCUGUUUGGAUUGUUUCUUUCCAUUUUGGCCAAUCAUUCUUUUUUUCAACAUUCAUCCACAAUUUGUGGUUCUUGAUCUUCAUCAUUUCUCAUGAUGUCUACAACCACUUGGAAUGCAAAUAUAUUCUCUAUGAUAAUGUCACUAUGGUACCGUGUUUCUACAAUGUGCCUCAUUGAGAUCUCUUCAAUUAUAGAUAUUGGUAUUUGAUCAAUUUGUGCCUCUUCAUGGACUAACUGUUUAUCAAGUUGGGUUUCAUCAUUUGACCAUUUCACAUUUGUGAACUUUUCAAGAGUACCAAGCUUUUCAUAUGUUAUUCAUUUUCUUUUUAUAAGAACUGAAUCCUUUGAGCCAAUAAGUCUACCACACUUCAAGCGUGUCCUAGAUUCUCUUUUUAUGGCAUUCUCCAAUUGUCCUUCAGGGACAUCAAUAUGUGUCAAGGUAUUCACAUCCAUAACAUGUGACUUUGUUACUGUCUUUAUAUCUGUAAAAGCAUUAAGAGGUAACUAAUUUGAAAGUCCUUACAAAUGAAUAUAAUCCUUUGAACUUCUAGUUCACAUUGCCUUGUACAGGGAUAAAAAUAAGACAAGGAGGGUACAUACCAUGUAAUGUCUCGUCAUUCUUAUGGAAUUGACUUGCAUUCCCCUAAUGGUGGGAAAAUCAUCUCUUUAAACUAGAAAUUUGCAUAACAUCUAAUAAUAUCCUUCAAAGGUUCAAACAUACUAGUCACUAGUUGAAGAAACUUCUGGUUCUUUAAUGAAUAUCCAUUUGACAUUUCAAGGAGUUGAUGCAUCAUUGUUCACCCCGGGGGAACAAGUUGGUCUUCUCAAAUUCUUCUAGAUUUGCUAGAAUGUCAAGUAUCAUUCAUAUGGAUUCGUGUGCCACUAGUGACAUAAUAUGAGCUCAUCUGGAGCUUUCAAUCAGGUUUUCAUAAAUUCAUAUAUGUAGUAAUGGCAUCAAUCAACUAGUGACAUAGUAUGAGCUCUUCAAGAGCUUUCAAUCAAGUUUCUAUAAGUUGAUAUGGUAAUGACAUCAAUUAUUACAUAUUGUACAAUUAAUGAGACAAACAUCUUAGAAAAUACUUAUUAAGUAAUCAAUAUUAUGUGUAAAUAAAACAUAAACAUGUAUUAGCAAAUAUGAUAUGUACUAUAUUACAUAAAAAGACACAACAUAAGAAAGUAAAGAUCUUACAUGAGAAUAAACAUUUUUUCAUCACCAAUCAAUCAGUAAAUUUUAUUAGUAGGAUUUUUAAAGAAAGUUAUAAUAAUCUAGGUUAGAUAUGUUAACCUUCUAUUUACUAAUAUUUUUCUUCUAAUUUUGGUAAAAGUCGAUGAAAUGUUUGAUCGUAUGACUAGUAUGCAUCAACAAUCAUUUCUUAUUCAACUAUGGUAGGUUUAUUCUACAAACCUAACUUUUUCUUCUUCUUUUUUUCAUUUCACCACUUCCAGUGGUAGGGUAUGAAUUUCUUCUUAGGAAAACAAUGACCCUUAUGGAUUAAGAAGUUAUUGUAUACUAAAUUUUAUUGUAUACUAGAUUUAGAUCAUAUCCUAUUCUAUGAUCGUAUUCCUAAUUGGUUACAGGGAACAAUUCCAUUCCGAUUAGAAAAUAUUGGUGGUUGUUAAUGAAAAAUUCAUUAUUCUCAAUUACAUCAACUUACAGUGAACUUAAAGAAGGAUAGUAGUCUUUUAGUGGGUAUACUUUCUUUUUAUUAUUCUAAAAAACUAAAGGGUUAUCAUAUUUUAAUGACAUAGAAAUUACCCACAACAACAAACUAAAUAGAAAACUAAAAAUAUUUAAAUAAAUUUAUAAAUGUGAAACAUGAUGACUAUUUUAAAAAUGGAUUAUGAAAAUUAUAGAUCUAGAUAUUUAAGCCUCCAUAUCAAAUAGUAAGAAUACUAAUGAUACAUUCAAAUCCAAAACAUAGAAAAUUAAGGAUUUCAAUAAUUGAAUUCUUAAAAAAAGAAGAACUCAUAUUUCAUAACUUCAAGCUAUAAAAUUCUUGUAGCUUUAGGCUAUAAGUGAAACAACAAUGCUUAUAUCACAAUACUUACAAUAAUCUCUAUUUAUGUAUAACAUAUAUUUUGUUUUAUAUAUAUGACUUUAGAUCAUAAAUUUUCUAUAUGGCUUCUACCCAUGAAAGAUUAUAAAGUUAAUUAUUCAAUAUAGAUCUUAGUUGUGAGAAAUUAUAUAAUAUUAACCUUUUUUUUUGUAUAGCGUUUAGCUAUAAUAACAUAUAAAAUAAUAAUCUCUAUAGUUUUCAUUCAUAGGAAAUACCUAUUUUCUUUCAUAGAACUUCAACCUAUCAAAAUAUUUUACACAUUUUUUUUUCAAGAUAUAAAAUAUAUACAAAAAAAUUCCCAUUUAGCUUCAGGCUUUGGGCUACAAAAAUAUAUAAAAGUUUUUCAUAUAGUUCGAGCUAUAAGAAUAAGCAAAUUAAUUAUUCAUAUAGCUUUAGGCUAUAACGAUAUAUAAAUUAUUUUUCAUGUAGCUUCAGGACACCAAAUACAAAUUAUUAUAUAACUUCUAAUUAUAAGAAUAUAUAGAAAUAUAUACCUUCUUGCUUUACAUAGGUUGAUCAUAAUAAACAAUAUUUUUCAUAUUAUCAUAUGGGAAAAUAAUUACUAUGAAUUCAAGAAACUAGUAAUAUUAACUAAAGAAUAAAUUUAUUAGAACUUCUAGCCAUAAUUUUAUUAUGAUAAAAUGAAAAUUUUUGCAUAGCAUCAAACUACAAGAUAUUCUCUAUAUAGCUUCUAGCUAUAAAAUUUCCUAAAAUUAUUAAUUGGCAAUUUAGUUUGUAUAACUUUUAGUUAUAUAUAAUGGGUGUGGGAGACAUAAUCUAUGAAAAAUAAAGAAUAAAUCAACAAUCAAAUUUUUUUAUUAAAGUGACCCCUUAUAAGAAGGAAAUGGAAAAAUGCACACCAUUUUUCCAAUUAUUUGUGUAACAUUUUUAUUUAUUUUUUAAAAACAUUAUUAAUUUAAAUUAGAAAUUAUUAUUUUUUUAAAUUGAAAAUAUUUAUUGUUUAGGGUUGACUAGACUUCACACUAAUUUUUAUCAAAUUUUAAUUUUUAGCAUGACAAAAAUUAAAAUUUAUUUUUUUCAGAACAAAAAUCUUCAUCAUGUGUUUUCUAAGAUCAAAUAUUUGAUAAAUUAUAAUUAAAGUUUAAAAAAAACAUGAUUUGACAAAUAUGUAAGAAUUUUAAUAUUUUUAAAAUAUUUAAAUAUUUUUAUUAAAUUUACAUAUUUAAAUGUAAAACUAUUUAAUUUUGGAGAGAUACACGUGCCUCUUUUCAUAAUAAAGUCCCAAGUGAAAUAAUCAUCCCUUGUCACCUAUUGCUUAAUAAUAUUCAAAACAAACUUUUAUAAUUAAAAUAAUAAUUUAAAAAAUAUAAAUAAAAUUAUAUUCUUUUUAUUAAAAUUUAUAAUUUGUUUAUAUUUAUCUUGUUUUUUUCAUGUUUUAUUUUUUCUUUAAAUUUUUCAUAAAAUCAUUAUUUAAAUUUAAAUCUUAUUCUUUAUAAUUUAUAUAGAAAAUUAAAAUAAUAAUAUUUUCAAGUUUUUGCCAUUAAGUACAUAAACUAUGACUUAUAUAGCUUUUGGGCACAACAUUGAUAAAAGGAGGAUGAUAGGUCAAUUUUUAGCCCAUCUAUCCUCACAGCACAGUUCUUCCUUUUCGAAUCAGGUGAAAAUUUUGGGGUUUCAAUCCACCGAACCCUCUCUUUUCAUCUCGUUUACUUCUCGAUCUUCCUAUUUUUCAUUUCCAGUCUUCUAUCUUCGUCUUGUUUCCUUCAAUCUUAUGCUUUGUUUUGGUGUUUCUAGGGUUGAAUUCAGGAGACGGAGCUGAAGCUAGCCGAGCUUUUUGAUCUCUGUGUGUGUGUUGUUUGGUGGAUUGGUUUUGGGACAGUUGGAUUUUGAUGGAUACCAAUAAUUGGAGGCCUGCUCAGGCUGAGCAGGCCAUGGAUCUGGGCGAUUGGAGGACCCAGUUGUCCCCCGAUUCACGCCAAGGGGCUGUCAACAGGAUGUGAGUGUUGUUUGUUUACCGAUAUUGAUUUUUUUUCCCCCUUUGGAGAUGUCUUGGGAGUGUUUUUCAGUUCAUGCAUGUGUGAAUUUUGAGAAAUGUUUUUGGUGGUGUGUAAUGAUUUUCGUGGACGGUUUUUUAUUGAAUUCUUGAGAGUUGGUUUGUGGAGUUGCGUGAGACUACCGGUUGGACCAGAAUUGAGUAAUUAAGAAAAAAUUUGAAAGCAGGCUUGGACCUGGCUUAGGGUUUGAAAGUAGUGUGUUGGGCUACUUGAUUUAGAUGGAUAAUUUUGAAUUAUUAUUUUUAUUCCAAAGAGUUCAUUUUUCCCUAAUAAAAUAGUUGAAAUUAAAGAUAUUAUUGGCUGGAUAGUUGAUGAGGUUAUGGGAAAUGCAGCUUCCUUUGAGCUCUUGCUAAAAUGGAUAUUUGCAGCUUCCAUUCUGAUUCAGUUGCCAUUUUGUUUUGUCGUGUGUACGCUGUUGCGCCCUUUCUUAGGGCUUUUAAUAUAUUAGUGGAAUUUAUGUAUCAAAAAUAAGUUGCCAUAUUGUUUUGGUCCUAUGUUUUGAAUUUUGGCGCCAAAACUUGUUCGGGAUUGGCAUGUGCUUCUUUUGAAGUUUCACAUUCUCACAUUCUCUCCCUUCAUAUUUAGUUGGCAUGUGUUGCCCUAUCAAUUUUGACUGCUGCAGUGCCGUCAAUUGUAGUGUGGUUUGUAUGCAAAUAAAUGAACUGUGAUCAUUCUAAAGAAAGCAGACAGCUUGUAGCAUAAAAGUGAGGACCCUGAUGAUUGCCUAGCUCUUCUCAGUUAUCUGUUUAUAUAAGCCAUCAAAUUAAUUGAACAAUUUUUGACAGGUGAACAAAUGAUUGAGGAAAAACUCUGAAUAGAUGAAACAAUGUUACCUUUUAUAAUUGUUAGGAGCAAAUUCCCUAGGGCUUACAGAACUCGUUUAAGUUGUUUAUGCCACAUCAUCUUUGACAUUGAAGUUGGUUCUGGGAUGAGGAGUAUGCACAUGGCUUGUCUAGAGGCAUGCUUUUGUGUAUUUUGCCAUAUUCAGCUAGGUGGGUGAUGUAAAACACAUGUACAAUGGAACAAAGAGGAGGGUUAGUUCUGCAUUAAUAUCAGAAGAUACCAUGGAUAAGCUAGUCAACAGGGUUGGGAAAGGAAACUGAGUUGUAUCCUUUGUUAUCAUACGCUGAACUUUGCCUAGAGUGGCUUGUUAAAAAAUCUGUUUAACUGAGGUCAUGGCUUAGGCAGUCUAAGACAAUAGUAAUCUAUGUUAGACUAGUCUGUUAGGUAGUUUAAAGACGUUCCUGGUUUCUGGCCACCGAACCAGUUUCUUCUAUUAAUGUCCAGAAGAACCUGCUUGAAUCCUGGGUUCAAUUGGAGUAUAUGUUCGGAUUUCAUGAAUUGGUAGGGAGGCAAGGCAUAAUUGAUACAUGGCUCUAUCAAAUCCACUGAAUAUUGGUUCCCAUGGGUUGAAAGUUCAAGCCAGGCAAGGCAUAAUAAAGAUUUGUGAACAUUUUAGGCACAUUGAAAAUUGAUUGAUGAGUGAGUUCUCACAUAAACAUACAAGAACAGGAAAGAGGCUGGAGGCAGCAAAAGUAAUAAAAUGUGCAGUAAAUGUCAAAGGAUGACCGCAAAUCCUGUAAACUAGGCAUCUUUCUGAUUUACAUAGAACUGUAGAAAUGUUAUAUACUGGUAUAGACUUUCAACCUCAAGAAAAUUCUGAAUGAAGUUUCUUGUUUGUGGGUUUAAGAAAUAAGGUUUGAAUUAUCAUUUUCUAUCUGCUUCUUCUUUUUCAGUGUAUUCUAAAUUUGAGUAUCAUGCACUGCUGUUUCUGGGUUGGAUAUCUACUGGACAUGGUUUAUGUAUUGCUGAUGUGAUUUACUAAUCGAUUGUUAAGAACUUCUCUGUGACUGCAUUUCAGUAAUCCAUUUAAACCUGUUGUUUAUUUCUUACCUCUAGAAUGGACACUUUGAAGAGGCAUCUUCCUGUUUCUGGACAAGAGGGUCUGCGUGAGCUUAGGAAAAUCGCUGUAAGGUUUGAAGAAAAGAUUUAUACAGCUGCCACGAGCCAGGUAUAUCCAUCAUGCAAAAGUCUUGUAAAUUUGGUAAUCUGCAUGAGGUAGUUUACUCUAUUAAGUUUCUGCUGUUGAUUCUUUUUCUCUGUUGUCUGGUCAUCUAAGCUAUGUAUAUCCUGUGUAUUCCGGUUACCUUUAUGGCUCAUUUUUAUAAAAAUGAUAAUAUUUUUGUUGUGUAUGCUUUAUCUAUCAAAAUAUUUACUUAACCAUUCAUCUCUUCAUCAAUCUAGGAACAUUAUUUGGUAUUUGAUAUAUUUUUUUUUUUGUCUAUUCAAAAUAUUAAAACGCAUAUGUUGGUUGAGUUUUUAAUCUGUGAUUCAUUGAUGUGUAUAUAUAUAUAUAUAAUUUUUUUCUUUUAAAUUUCAGUCUGACUAUCUGCAGAAGAUAUCACUGAAGAUUCUGACAAUGGAAACGAAGAACUCAGCUGGCAAUAGCCAAAAUCCCCCAGAUCCAGGUAACAGAAUGGAGAAGCAAUUUGCUCUCAUGAAAUGCCACAGUAGAAAUUUUGCUGGCAUUAUAACAUACUCUGUCCUUCCAUAUCCAUAUUUACGCUUGACUUAUUGUAUGAUGUUCUUACUUUUUCUUUAUUUUCCUAUUUCAAGCACACAUGCAUGCACUCACAUGCAAAUGUACUAUCAUACAUGUAUAUACCAUUCCUUUUCUAUUAAAAUUACUCUCUACCCUUUUAUAGGCAUGAAAUUGUCUCAAUUUGUUUCCUGUGCAUCAAAGCCAAAUUCAUCCUUAUGAGUGGAUUUUACAGAGAACAGAGCUAUCAUAAAACUAAUGCUUGGGUUUUUUUUUUUUUUUUUGUUAGGCAAAGAGAAAAUAUAUCAAUAGUGCCUAAAAAGAGGGCACACCAAAGUACACAUGAUAAAAACUAAUGCUUAGUUGUAAAAAAUUUAAGACACCGCAAAACAAUACCUUUUUUUAUACAUAAAAAAUGAUACUAUCACUUGUAUAGAUCUCAUCUUAUAUGUAUCUUGUGAUGUGCAUGUUAUAGAUAGGAUAUAUGCUAGUAAGAGAUAAACACCUUUGACCAUUCUAGUACUUUCUAAGAAUUUCUUUUCAGGAUAAAAUUGUCAAAAUAUUGUGUUAAUGGCCGAAUAUCUUGGCCUUGAGUUUUGUAUAUUAUAUACAGACUUUACAAAGAUGCUAUACAUGGAAAGCAAAUAAAAGCAAAUAAAUCCCCGCAUGAUUCUAGCCCUAUACAUGUAAACUAUAAUCUGUCAAAUAAUGUAUGCUAACUGUACAGAAUAAUAAAUGGAGAAAUAAGGAAACAAUUGUGGGCUAAAAUGAGGAAAGAAGUGUGAGCUAAAAUAAGGAAAGAAGUGUGGACAGCAAAGCUGUCCUUUGACAGCCCCCCUCAAAUUGAUGCAGGUUGAUCAACAAGCAUCAAUUUGCUACUUUGCAAGCAAUAUCGAUGAUGAGGUAGAGUAUUGGUGAAGAUAUCAGCAAUUUGUAAGUCAGUGGAAAUAUGUGGAAGAGUGAUAACACGAGCUUCAAAGGCUGCACGGAUAGAGUGACAGUCCACUUCAAUAUGCUUUGUGCGCUCAUGAUAGACAGGAUUGGCCGUGAUCUGAAUAACACUUGUAUUAUCAGCAUGUAGAGGUGUAGGAUCGGUCUCAGAAAAAUCUAACUUCACAAGCAAAGCUCGAAGCCAAAUGAUUUUAGAACAAGCAAGAGACAUCGCCCGGUACUCAGAUUCCAUAGAUGACUUAGAGAUUCUGUCUUGCUUCUUACUUUUCACAAACAUCUUAAACUAAAACUCCCAACGAAAAUAGUUUUUGCCAUUGAAACGAACAAUAGAAUAUUCUCCAGACAUUACGAAGACAGAAAUAGCUUAGGAAACAAAAAAAAACAUCGUCAAAGAGCCUAAAUCUGAUAACAAACCUCCAAAUAAUCGAAGAUCUCCAAGAGCCUAGAAGCGAAGAAACUCAAAGAAAACUCCAAGAUCACACCACAGAUGUGUUGUCACAACCACCAAAAAAAAAAAAAAAAAAAAAGAACCCAAAAGCUGGGCUAGAGUCCGAGAGCCGCUAGGGCUAGAUCCGAGAGCCGCUAGGGCUAGAUCCGAGAGCCGCUAGGGCUAGAUCCGAGAGCCGCUAGGGCUAGAUCCGAGAGCCGCUAGGGCUAGAUCCGAGAGCCCCUAGGGCUAAAUCCGAGAAAACCCAAAGAAAAACUAGAAAGCGUUUAAACUCUAGGUUCAAAACACAAGCUCUGAUACCAUGUCAAAAUAUUGUGUGAAUGGCCGAAUAUCUGGGCCUUGAGUUUUAUAUAUUAUAUAGAGACUUUACAAAGAUGCUAUACAUGGAAAGCAAAUAAAAGCAAAUAAAUCCCCGCAUGAUUCUAGCCCUAUACAUGUAAACUAUAAUCUGUCAAAUAAUGUAUGCUAACUGUACAGAAUAAUAAAUGGAGAAAUAAGAAAACAAUUGUGAGCUAAAAUGAGGAAAGAAGUGUGGACAGCAAAGCUGUCCUUUGACAAAAAUUCCUAGAUUAGUCACUUGGAAUGGAUUUUAUGGUUACCACUGGAUGGCUAAAUGGAAAGGAAGAGAGCCAAUGGUCCUAUUCGAGAACACCACACCCAUGUUGUCAAAGGCAUACCUGAAAGAUUGAAGCUUAAGCAUAAUUUUGUUGCAACGAGUAUUAGGGAAGUUUAUUUGAAUAAUUUAAAUUUUGGCCUUGAAGAUGAUGAUGAAUGAAAACUUUUACUUAGUAUAUUGGUUUUUCUUUUUAGGAACGAGACUUGAUUUGCUUAAUUAGUUUUCCUUUUCUUUUUUACUCCCUUUAUGAUAGGGGAUAAAGAUAGAUUUGGAAAGUUAGAUUCUUAUUAGAAUUGACAACUAUGCUAAUACUAUAGAAAGAUAAUAUCUUCUGCAGAUUGGUUGCCAAAGCAAGGAGCUUCCUUAUUAGGAGUUUAUGUAGGAGCCUUCCUUCCUCUUGAGUGAUUGCGAGGUGUCUUAGGCCUUUUGGAGUCCCUUAAUACUUGGUUUGGUUCUUUUUGUUUGGCUUGAGGGAUAGCUCAUCCUUCCUAGCAUUUCCUUUGUUUUGUUAUACACUAACUAAUUGCUUUUUUUUUUUUUUUCCAUCUGAAAUAAGAUAACCUAUUUUCUUAAAAUGGUUACAUGAUCAGUGUAUUGGUUCCAUUACUAUUUGCUGCAUUUCAGGUACAGGGUUGAUUCUAGCUGCAAAAUUGAAAGAUACCUCCAUUCUUUGUCCCCACAAAAAUUCCAACUCAUUUUGGAUUGUUCUAGCUGAAUGGCAAACAUUUCAAUGCCCUGGCCGAUUUCUAGGGAUUUGGGUUGAUUCUUCCAUGUUUAAGAGAGAGAGAUGACAAUGGCCUUUUCAGUAUCAGAUUUCAACAUUAAAGUGCGUCUGUGAUCUAAAACAACCUUAAGAUAGGUUACUUAUGAUCUCUCAUAAAUAAAAAGAUAGGUACUUAUGAUCACAAAACUGCAGGCUAGGACUUCAAUUCCUUAAGAUUUAUGGAGGGGAUUGACAAACUUUAGCAACAAAGAAAGAAAUGAAAUCGACAAAAGAAAAAGGAGAAAAAGAUAAAUGUUCAACCUUAAGAGUCUUGCUAAACCCUUUUAGGAUCUCCCUGGGAGAGAAUUAUUAUUAUUAUUCAUUUUAUUUCUGUUUUACUGCAAUUAGUUUUAUUUAUAGAAUUUAGGGAACUUUAGAACUCCACAACACCAUAAAAGAAAAACCUAACAUAAUAGUGACCUAUUAGAAUUCUAAUUCUUUUCCUAGGACUCCUAAACCUUCCAAAUAAUAGAGCAGAAAUAUAAAGAGAACCUUGUUGAAUCAAUUGACAAAUUAAAAGCAAAUAAGCACUUUUAGAAAAUAGGAAGUUUAUAGGAACCUAUUAUAAGAAAGUUCUAGAAAAGAAGAUAUUACAAAUUCUAAUCAGGACUCAAAUAACCAAGUAUCCUACAUAUUAGACUAAAGUCUCUUGCCAAAUACUUUUUAAAAAAAUUUCGAACGUAUUUUGUUUUUCAGAAAUUUUCAAACAUAUUUUUGUCUUUUGUUUUCUCUUUUUUCCCCUCUUCUGCAAACCUUAGGAGCACAUUACUCUUCUUGAUCCUUCCAAAUGAUUAAGAAUAUUCUAUAUGAUAUCAGUGAAAAUGAUUAGAAAUGUCAAUUAUGUUUUUCUUCAAAAUGAUAAAUUUUCACCAAGUUACCAGUAAUAGAUUAGUGUGUGUAUUUUUCAAAUUGAUAUGUAAUAUAUAUACCAUAGAUUUUCUUUGUGAUAUUUCGUGAAAGUUUGAGGAAAAAAUUGUUCCUAUAGAUAUUUGAAGUUAAGGAUUACAACAUGUAUAUAUUGGACUACUUUUAAGUACAUGCAAAAGGAAAAAAAAAAAAAAAAGAUACAGCUUUGCAAAUAAUGACUACCCUGAAAACAGAAAAAUAAAUAAAAACUAAAUUAGAAACAUUGACUCAGUUGAUUCUAUCCCGUAAUUUACCCCACUAAAUCAAAUCACAACAUCCCAUUUACAGCACUAAAUCAAAUCUCCCACAUAUUUUAUGAUUUCCCACAUUUAGCAUUUAUUUAUUCUUUUAUGAGUAGAUUAAUUAAAGUACCUUGAAGGGGGCAAACCAUUGGACCAUGGUCUAUGCAAGGAAUCAACCAAGAUAAGAGAUAGAAAAACCGCUUUUUUUGGAUAGGUAAAGAAAAGAGGAAUCACAAAAAAAAAGUGCCCUCCAAGUAUACAUGAAGUAUACAGUAAAAGCCUAAAGGCUCAACCCAAAGGGGAAGGGAAAGAAGGAAAAAACAUCACAUGUCCUUACUUAGAGCCUAACCAAUCAAUGAAGCUAACAAGAGAAAUAUGGCUCGUAUCUACAGACGCCCUAGACCAAGACCACAUUACAUACAAAAGAAUUUUUCAAUCUUUAAAUUGAUAACUUCUUAUUGUCAAUUGCUAAUAUGUUUCUUUCCUUCCACACUAUCCAAAAUAUAUAUAAAGGAGCCGUUUGCCAAGCCUUUUUAUGAGCUUUACCCACAAAUGACCCAUGCCACCCAAGAAGUGAAAUAGAAAAACCUAGACAACACUAAGCUCUUAGUGACCAUGGUAUGUGUGCUAGAGAUUUACUUUGUGAUCUGUUGCAUUCCUAUAUCCUUUUGUUUCUUUAAUACACAAGUAUGAGUAGACUAAUAAAGCAUCAUGAAAGGUGGCACACCCUAGUGCAAGGGGGUUUAUGAGGAAAUCCAAGAAAAAAGACAGAAAUUUUUUGGCCAACAUAGACGUAAGCUCUUAAUUAACUUAAGAAAAGACAGUCCUCUCCUCCUCUCCCAUGGAAGGUCUAGACCAUGUGAAUAAGGAUUUUAAGUGUCUUUAAGCUGAAAAACCAUUAUCUUUUUCUCUUCAAAAGCUCACCUGUUGCUCUCCUUCCAUCUGCACAAAAAAGAGAGAAAAAAAAAAUGCUCAAUGAUGCUGCUACUUUCAUCCUUCUCUUACAAACAAAUGAUCAUAUCAACAAGCCGGGGCGCCCUUUUCACUAAAUGAGGUAUACCCAUGAAAUGCCAAACAUGGAGAAAAAGUAACAUCCAUGAAGAUCCAACCACCUCUCAAUGGAGGAGAAUGUUAUUUGCAGACUCAACUUGGUAACUGAAGUAGCAACGAGUCACCAUGGUCCAUCUCCUCCUUAUUAAUUGAGCUAUGUUAACAACCUUCUCCCAAGCUGCUUCCUAAGUGGAAAAACCUACCUUGGAUAGGGCACCAGAAUGCCAAAUGCUUCUCACCAACAAUGAAGGGAAUGAAGACGCGAUAAUAGGAGGGACAAUCCUAUAAAAAAAAUUAAUCCAAGAAGCACCUCUUUCUAGGUGCCUUCCAUCAAAGUGAAUCUUUUAUUUCUACUGGAAUGGUAAAGCUGUGAAUUCAGGCCAUGAAAGUCACAACCAUCUUGGAAUUUAAAAUAAAACCAGAAAAUAAGGUUUGACUGAGUUCUAUUAUUCUGGACUGUUUAGUUUAGAUAAGUCCUAGUGUGCUUAAAUUUGUUUUUAUCUCUUGUUUGAAUUAGAGAGAAUAUCCGAUGAUAUUCUAUGGGAUUGCUUUGUUUAUUUAAGUUCUUGAUGUAAACCAAAAUUUUUUUGAUAUAGAGUAUCAUUCAGUUUCUCUUCCAAAUUCAAUAUGUAGCAACAAUGCAGCAGAAUAAUGUGCCAAGCUUACAGCCUAGUUCUAUGUCUUCUUUAUGUGGCCUGUCAAAUCCACAGCAGAAUAUAAUAAAUUGACUACAACCCAGUGCCAAUUUGGAUUCAGGACAAGGAAAUGCGCUGACUUCAUUGCAGCAGAACAUUAAUCAAUUUCAGAGAUUGAAUUUAGAGUAAGGUAAUUUCUCUUUAGCUGGCUUAAGCUUCUCGUGAAACAUGUUUAUUUCAUUCUCCUACAAAGAUAAUUCUAGAGUCAGAUUAAUCCUUGAGGUAUUUAAGUAUCUAAAACUGAUAACAUAAGAGUAUUUUCAGCUAACUUCAUCCAUUUUCCUGAUUUUAGUUCUGAUUAAAUAUCUUUUCAUAUGGCUUGGUGUUGAGAAAGAAAUGUUGCAUUUUCAAUUUGGGAUCUUAAGAAGCAUAAAAAAUGGUGUCUUUCUUCAGAUUUCUUCUAAAAUUCGACAGAUUUGGGAGGUUAAUUCUCUUCCUUCUCCCUCCCACCCCCAACCAAGAUUGGAAUAUUCCCCAAAUCCUAAAACUCUAAUUUUAUCACAAAUAUUCAUUUCGACCCUCUAAAGUUCUGAGUUGAAUUUCAAAUUAAGCUGAAAUCAUGUCGUAAUUUUGGUAUUGCAUUGAUCUCUGGUUGUUGGAGGAAGGUUGAAAUCUUGGUUGUAAUGUAAUUGUUUAUGUGUGAGAUAGGUGUAAAAGGUGUUUACUAUGGAAACCUGCCAUCUCUCAUUAUUGUGUAACCAUUAUAUUUUGCAGACUCUGAGGCUGGAAAAUGGAGUCAGUUGGAAGUUGCUGCUUCAUAGGUCUACUAUGAUUUGGAAAUUUGCAAAUGUAGAACCUAAGUAACAACUCGGUCUACGCAUGGUGUGAUUUCUGGAUAAAAUGUUAAUAUGAUGUUUGAAUGUCAAAUGUUAGAUUUGUCGUGGGAAGCUGAUAUGGAAUGUUGCAGUUUUUACUAAUGAAUCCGGAACCUGGAGAGGAAAUAUU